UAAUUUAACAGCAUAGUGCAGUGAAUUCCAACCCCAUAAGUCAGGUUCCUCGCAUAAAGGUUUAUUCCAACGCCAUAGUGAUCUAAUGCAAUCUGGAUGUGUCAACACGAUAAAUGCAUAAAUGAGGGGUUAGAUCUUCUCGCAAAUAUAGUUGCACAGCAGACACUACAAAAUCAUCAGCAAAAAUUGCAGAUAACUAUUUUUUAGUCAAAGAAUAUAACGUUGCCCAGAUAUUGAAAUGACAUUACUCAACCCACCCCUCCUCUAAGUCUUCUUCUCUUCCCUCCUAUUUUUUCUUACGGCAGAAUCGCUAUUCAGGUGGAUAAAAACUGCUGGACAUUAAAUAACCACAUCACGAUUGAUUUUGGUUGGCUAGUUUAGAAAGUCACAGGGUUAGGCCAAAACUUCUUUGUUCACAUCAUUCGCUACACCUUGGCGAGAUAGUCUUUUGGAAAGGAGAAGAGGGAUUGGGGUAGUUGUCAGAGAUAUUAAAUAGUAAGAAAAUUAGUCCAUUGGAUUAUAAGUUGAUGCAGAUAAUGGAGGAUCCUAGUGAGACUAUCGACAUGAUUAAUCCAUAUUAUGGGAAAUUCAACUAAAGUUAGAUGUUGAUACAGCAAAUAGCAAAAAUUAUGUACCUUUAUGUUCCUGAAUUGCUGCUGCAUGCAGAGGCGUUCUAUUAGAUGGACCUGCAACAUAAGUUGGUUUCUUGAAGGAUUCCAAAAUUUUAAUCAAAGCAUCAUGAAAACCAGAUUCAGCCGCCAGAUACAGUGGCGUCUCCUGCGCAUGGUUAGGCGGAAAUUCAAAUUCAGGAUCUUCUGUCACCAAGAGCUUAACCACAUCUAGAUGUUGGCUCCUCACGGCCUUGUGCAGCGCUGUAUCUCCACUAGCAUCCAUCAUCCUCGUGAGUUUCUCCUUAGUAUUAUGAUCUUCGACACAUGCAAGUAGCACACGUACUACUUCAGUGUGCCCUUCAUUAGCUGCUAUGUNNNNNNNNNNACAGCAAAACAAUGCUGGAGUAAUCUUAAGGACUUCUUCCACAAAAUGGGAGUGGCCAUAGAGGGCUGCGACAUGGAGGACCGUGUUUCCCUUUGGAGUGACUUGGUAGCCAUUUUCUUCAUCCCUUUUCAGAUGAUCAGCAAGUAGAAAAUUGGCAUCUCCGAUAUUGCCUCUCAUCGCAGCAUUAUAUAGGGUCGGAUCCAUUCCCUUUGAUUUGGAGUUUUAUCCAAGAACUCACAAUGACAAUCCUGUGAGUCCUUUCUCUGGAUGAAACAUUAUUAUAUAGGAAAAACUAAUUAGAUUCUUAAUGAAUCCCAAAGAAGAAAGGGAUCUGGUGUUUGCCUUGAUCACAAGAAAGGGAUUUUGAUGUUUUCGUAUUUCUCUUUCGUGUCAAAAGUGAAAGAAUAUCAUGAACAUAAACAGUUUUAAGAACUUAUUAAACCACCUAAGACAAAAAGAAUGCUUGGAUCUCUUAAGAUUCACUUCGUCUUAUGAUUUUUUUCUCAUAAAAACAAACAAGUAGAGCAGUCGAUUACUUAAGAAACGAACAAAACAUGACUACAGAACAAAGAAAAUCUUGUUGCCAACUCAAAUGUGCUAUAGAGGAAACUUACCGAAACAAUAAUGGCGAUCAUUGGCUCCCAUUUCCCCAUGAGACUGGCGGAUGUUGCUCCUUUUCCCUUUACUCAACACAUGCUCUUCGCGGAUCUACAACAUCCAAACUGAAAACCAGCCGCACAUUCGUGAUAAAUUUAAUUUGAAUUCAUAAAUAGUGAAGAAGAGGUCAAUAGAAGGAUACCUAGAAAAAUGCUCCGAAAAAGGUCUCUUAGCAUUGUUGCAUAAACACAACAUAUUCCUCUAUAGAAGGCCCUAUGGAGUAAAGGGGAGUGGGUGAAUUCUAGGAAAAAGAGGGAGCGAGCCUAUAUAAAUAGAAAAUGAAAUAAAGAAAAUUUCAUGAAUAGAUAGAGUCAACGGUACAACAAACAGUGCUGCACAUGAAAUCUUUGCGGAGGGGCUCAAAUUAGCUACCCUGGCACUUAAACAACCCACCCAAAAUUUCAGGUACUGAUACAAAUACGAUCGUGAUCAUGAACGUUUUUUGGAGUAUAUUAAAGGCAACCGAGAGAGUGCACACGUGUAAGUGUGAAGAAGGCCCAAAGCCGCCCAUAUGGUGCACUCAAUGGGUGCCCAUUUUGAAGACCAGUCAUUAAAGGGUCUUUAGUCUUUUGUCUCUUAUUGUAAUGUAAUAUAAAUAGAACCUUGUAGGGUUUUAGUUCCUUAGUUUUUGAAUGUUAUUGAAAGAAGUUCCUCUAGAGAAAGUGAGACCAACGGUAACUAGGGUGAUACUAGUGUGGACCAGUGUUGCAAAACAUUGUUAGAAACCUUGGUGCUUGAGAGGUGGACACCCUCUUGUGUCAUCGUAGAGUGUUGGUGUUGAUAUUAAGAGUGUUAAGGGUCUUGGUAUUUAAUAUAUACCUUGGUUCUUCUGAUCAAAGCAAACAAUAAAUAACUUUCUUUUGAUCAAAGGCAAAGAUCUGUGUGGUGUUCACAAUAUUUCUAUAUAAUAUUUCAUCCGGAGAAAGCAAAGAACUCACCAGCAAACCAAAUAAAAGAAACGAAAAUGGAUCCAACUUUGUACAAUGCUGUGGUGGGAGGCAAUAUCAGUAAUGGUGAUUUUUCACUUGCUGAAUAUCUGAAAAGGGAUGAAGAAAAUCCGUACCAAGUCACUCCAUCACUCAACACAAUCUUACACAUGGCCGCUCAUUAUGGCCACUCCCAUUUCGUGGCAGAAGUCCUUAAAAUUAGUCCAGCAUUGUUAUGCCAUCGGAACAAGAAGAAUGAAACUGCACUUCACGUAGCAGCUAAUGAAGGUCACAUGGAAGUAGUCCACUCGCUACUUAGUAUGGAGGAGCAUCAUAAGGAGACGCUCAUGAGGAUGACAGAUGAGAAUGGAGAUACAGCACUGCACAAGGCCGUGCGGAGCCAACAUCAAGAUGUAGCCAGACUGUUGGUGAAAGAAGAUCCUGCAUUCGAAUUUCCAUCCAACAAGGCUUGGGAGACACCGCUGUAUCUGGCUGCUGAGUCUGGUCUUCGUGAAGCUUUGAGUGAAAUCUUGAACUCAUGCAAGCAACCAACUUCUUCUGCAGGUCCAUUAAAUCGAACACCUCUGCAUGCAGCAGUAAUUCAGGAACACAUGGGUAUGUACAUAUUUUUUUGACACUACUCUCACUAUGUUAAAAUCUCUUUUUGAUUCUUGUUACUAUCUGUUGUAUCUUGUACUUCGACUAUCGUAUUAUUUUGUUCCAGUACUGUUCUGUUUUGGACUGUUUUUCUUGAGCUGAAAGUCUAUCGGAAACAGCCUCUCUGCCUCCGAGGUAGUGGUAAGGUCUGCGUACACUCUACCCUUCCCCGGACCCACUUAGAGACUACACUGGGGAGUCUAAAUUUGCGUUGAUUUAACUCCUUAUCAUCAUCAUCUUUGAUGCAUGCAUCCAGAUUGCGCGAGAUUGCUAAUGCAAUGGAAUAGAUAGUUGUGUGAGGAACCUGACGUGGGGGGUUGGAAUUCGCUGCACUUUGCUGCUCUUCUGAGAUUGAAAGAAAUAGUUUCCGAUAUGCUGGUGUGGAAAAGAUCCUUAGCCUACCUUCCAGCAGGCAGUGAAAACGACUGGACAACAGCAGUUCACAUUGCAGCCGGUGCAAGUAAGAUGUUUUACAUGAGCUAUUAAAUCACUGCCCUGAUUUCUGGGAAAUGCUCGACAGCAAUGGCCGAAAUGCUCUUCACGAAGCCAUAUUCUGCAGUCAAGCAAAUGUGGUGAAUUAUUUAUUGAAGUCCACAAAGUGGGAUAAGCUUGUCGAGGAUCCAGACAACGAUGGCAACACACCUCUCUAUUUGCUUGCUUCCUCUAAUUUUUGGGGCUACGUGCCUCUGGAAUUAAAAGAUCAUCCCCGAGCAAAGAAGAUGUCAUAUAACAAGGAAAACAAGACUCCCUUUGACGUAGCAGUGUCUUGCACAGAGUGGACGGCAGACAAGGAUAGAAUCGCACCUAGCUUGUAUCACGAUUUCCUUAAUUCCAUUGCUCAGCUGGGACGACGUUCACCCAAGCUGAACCAGAUGGAUCGGCAGAAGAUAAUUUUCAACCAAGCUAAGGAACGCGACAUAAAUAUCAAAGGUAUCUUGUCAGCAGCUCAAAUGCAACUAGUUGUAGCUACUCUAUUAGUCACAUUCACCUUUACGGCUGGUUUUACAUUACCGAGAAGUUUUGAAAGCGAUGACAAUAGCCCUAAUAAGGGGAUGGAAGUUCUAAUAAAAAAAACAGCAUUCCGUGCAUUUGUUAUAACGGAUGCCAUCGCCUUUGCAUGCUCCGCUGGUGCUAUAUUCAGAUACUUCUAUAUGGCGACAAAUCCUCGUCCAAUGUUUUAUCAGGAUUUGGAUUAUUUGUGGUCUCUCAGUAAAGUUGGAGCUAGGUCGCAGCUCGUGGCAAUGUCAGCAGUUGUAAUUGCAUUUGUAACUGGUAUGUAUGCUACUUUAGCACAUUCAGUUGGUCUCGCUGUUACUGUCUGUGCCUUCGGUUGCAUCUCUUUCAUUAUGUACGUGUGGGCAGUGCUGAGGCCAGUAUGGUGGAUACCUAUAGCAAAAAGGUGAUGUAUAAGGUAAUGUAUACGUACAAAAAGUAUUUUUGACAUGUAUACUUUGUGUAAUUUUCUAUAUACAUAAUAUAAAUUCAUUGGUUGCACCUCUUUCCUUGUGUACAAACUUCUGUUAUGUUCCUUGAACUGAACUCGCGAUAUAUAUUAGUAGUAUGUGCAAUAAAGACUAAUGAAAUUCAUGAACAUGAGCGGAGACAAUGAUUUCAAGUGUUAGUAAUUGAAUUCCUAAAGAUUACAAAUACGAGUCUAGAACCGCUGAAGGAUCCAAAGGAUACCCCAGAGGCCAGCCAGGCUGUUGUGCCCGAGGCUAAACCACGAAGAGGCCCAAGAAUUAGACAUACCAAUUAAAAUUACUGGAGGUCCACGUCACUAAUUAAAAUUAUGUGAAUGUCCCAAUUAAGUUAACUAAACAACUGAAUAUAUUUCUAGAUGUUCUUAGGCCAAGCUCCAAUAAUUGUAAAAAAUAAGUGAGCCCUAAAAUAUUCUUUUGCCAAGCCUUACAAACCUCAAAAUGACUAGUCAAUCAUUCUCUGUUGCAUACAUUUUGGUCGAUUACUGUUUAUGCUUCUUGGAUUUUUCAUUCAAUGCUAUGACGGGUGAUCUUCCUCAUAGAUUCAAGGCACUGACUAGUAUGAACAAAAUGUAAGAGAAAAUAAAUUAGUUCUUACUAAUUUUUUUAAUUAAAUAUGACGUGGAACUCUAGUAAGAUAACACAUGGAAAAGCUAUUUUUCAAAAACUACCAUUAACAAGCACAGGCAUGUAUGAACCUGUUUUGUAACGACAAUGACAUAAACGAGCCAAACUUUUAACGGAUGGUAUAAAUGAGUCAUUUCUUAUAGUUUGAUAGCAUAUUUGAGCCUUUUCUCUUUGUUUUAAUUAAUGAUGUGGACCUCUAGUAAGAAUACACGUGGCAAAGCUGUUUUUGAAAACCACCGUUAACAAGUAAUGGCAUGGAUGAACCUGUUUUGUUACGGCGAUAACAAAACGAGCCAAACUUUUAACGGAUAGAAUAAAUGAGCCAUUUCUAAUAGUUCGAUCGCAUAUUUGAGCCUUUUCUCUUUUUUUUAAUUAAUGAUGUGGACCUCUAGUAAGACGACACGUGUCAAGCUGUUUUGAAAAACCACAGUUAACAACUAAUGGCAUGAAUGAACCUGUUUUGUAACGGCGAUGGCAUAAAUGAGUCAAACUUUUAACCGAUGGCAUAAAUGUGCCAUUUCAAAUAGUUCAUGUCAUAUUUGUGCCUUUUCUCAUAUCGAUACAAUCAGCUCAAACACUUUUAAGAAUAGGAUAAGCUACAUACGUAACCCAAAAGUUCUUGAAAUAGAUUAGAGGCAUCAAGAGCAAUUGGAAUAUGAAAAACUUCAAUCGUAUAGUUUAUAGAUCUCGCGAUGCCUUUUUUCCAUUUAAAAGUAUAUUUUAUAUUGUAAAUUUUAUUCAAAAUUGACUAGAAUUUUAUUUAUCAAAAUUUUCCUUAUCUGAAGUGUAUAAAUCCCUAAAAUUUAGGAGUUCAAGAUUAAUUAUUAUUUUUCAUAUAUAUAUAUAUAUAUAUAUGAAGCAUAUCAAAUUUUAUUUUAUCCCCGUUUGUCUGUUAAAAAUUGAACGAAAAGAUGUGAAAACUUCAAAAGUAGUUAGCUUUGUUUUGUAGAGCUCCUGUUAUUAAUUUGAUUAACAAAUUAUGAUAUUAUUUCUUCUAUGAAUAUUGAAUAUCCAGAUCUUAUGAAAUUUAUUGUUAGCACAAAAAAAUUUAUGAAAUUAAUUAGACUAUGUUUUUCUUAUAAAAAUAUUUUAGUAAUUUCUUGAAAAUAUUUUUUCAUCUUUUAAAAAACUGUUUAUGAAUAAUAUGAAUACACAAUUGAUGAAUAAAAUCUUGAAGAUAAGUUAACUUUACCGGUCUUCUUUUGUUUAAUCGAUUCAGGGUACCACAAUGUAUAUUGCUUUGCGGCUUAGGAACUUACCAAUAUGAUUUGGAGACUAAAUGUCAAAUUAGGCAAGUGCUUUGAUGUCUAACAUAUGAUAGAGAUAAAGGAGAUGAAUAAAUAUUUUAUUAGGUAUAUUCUCUUACGAAAGAACUUUUUUUCUUUUUGUAUAUAAUUUAAAUGCUUGAUGUCAGACACACGUGCAACGCACGUAUCCUAGACUAGUAACUAAAAUAACAUGUAAUGGACUAAAAAACCAUAUCGGUCGUAUGUAAUUCAAGGUAUUGGGUAAAAACUGAAAUAUAUGUAGUUGAAUUAUACAUUUGGAAGCAAUAAGUAGAAACUCUCAUCACAAAAAUCUACAAAUAUAGAUAAAAACCAAGAAGUACAAUAAAAUAGAGAGGCAACCUAUGAAACAGACAGUAACGACAAGACCAAAGGAAUGUGAUAAGGUAGCAAACAUACCCGUUGCGAAUGCAAUUACAACUGCUAACAUUGACAAGCACUGAAAAAUACCUGCGAGAUCAUAAAACUUCUCUACAGCUUUCUUAUUUUGAUGAAAUCUGCCAUGAGGAAGUAGAUGAAUAUGGCAACACCUGAGCAUGUGAAGGCAAUGGCAUCAAAAACAACAAAUGCACGAAAUGCUGUUUUCCUUAUUAGAAUCGCCAUCCCUUGAUUAGAGCUAUAAGGGUCGCUCUCAAAACCUCCUGGCAAUGUGAUACCCGCGGCGAAAGUGACAGUCAUUAUCAAAGUGGCCACAACAACAUGGAUUUGAGCUGACUUCAUAAUACUUUCGAUUACUGUUUGAUCUGCCUUUUUAGCUUUAUCUUGAUUAUCUUCCCUCAGUUGUAUUUUGACUCCUGUUCCCGUUUCAUCAUUUGGAUUGGGCAUGUACUCGUACUUCCGCUUUACCUCAAAGUCACGUUUUCCAAAUCGGCCAAUGCUACACAAAUCCUCCACCAAUUUCUCCUAUUUUUAUCGGUAGUACAGUUUAUAUUGAGUCUUGUCGAAAAAUUUAACACAGUAACUUGUCUAACUGAGAAUUAAUCUGUUCAUAGCUUAGGAGGCAACGAUAUCAUGUAAAAAUUGAAUUACAAUUUUACUUGACCACAUCAAGAAUGGUCAGAAAGAUAAGUUGGAUCUAUAAAAGCAUUGUUAUUAAAAGUUAAAAGAGUAUUCCAUAGCAAUGCAACCAGUAUUUGAAAAACAAAUAUGUGACUGACUUCUUACCUAUUUUGUCGUUGCUUUGAAUAUCAAGUGGAGUCUAGUUUUGUUUGUUAAAUGACAUCUUCUUUUCUCUAGGAUGGUUUAUUAAUUCAGGCACAUGGUCACCAGAGGCAGCAAGCAAAUGGAGAGGAGUGUUGCCGUCGUUGUCUGGCUCAUCAACAAGGUUGUCGCACUUAUCAGAGCCUAAUAAGACGCGGACUACCUUGUCUUGAUUGUUCAAUACGACAACAUGAAGAGCAUUUUGAUUGUUUCUGUUAAGCAUAUCCCAACAAUCAAGGCAGUGAUUUAAUAGCUUAUUUAUCAUGUUUACGUCACCUUCACUGGCUGCAAUGUGAAUUGAUGUCGUCCAGUCAUUUUUAGUGCCUGCCGGAAGGUACACUAAGGAUUUUUUCCACUCCAGCAUAUAAGAAACUACAUCUAUCAGUCCUAAUUGGAACAGCAUAAUGCAGUGAAUUCCAACCCCAUAGUGAUCUAAUGCAAUCUGGAUGUGUCAACACGAUAAAUGCGUAAAUAAGGGGUUAGAUCUUCUUCCAAAUAUAGUCCUAAUUUAACAAUCCUGUGAGUCCUUUGCUUUCUCUGGAUGAAACAUUAUUAUAUAUAGGAAAAAUUAAUUAGAAUCUUAAUGAAUUUCAAAGAAUAAAGGGAUCUAGUGCUUGCCUUGAUCACAAGAAAGGGAUUUUGAUGUUUUCAUAUUUCGCUUUCAUGUCAAAAUUUGGAUUGUACAAAUUUGGAUCCAUUUUCUUUUCAUUUUUUCCUUAUUUUUUUGGAUUUUGGGAUUUAUAAAUAUUUCAAAUUAUGAUCUUUUGUGUCCUUUAUUAUAUUAUCAUAGAAAUAUUCCGGUCUCCGGACACGGGUAAAAUUCCUGUCAUGUGAUCAGGAGGUCACGGGUUCAACUCUUGGAAACAGCUUCUUGUAGAAAUGUAAGUUGAGGUUGCGUAUAAUAGAUCCUUGUGCUCGGGUCCUUCCCCGAACCCUGCACAUAGCGGGAGUUUAGUACACCAAGCUGCCCUUUUUCUUUUUUUAGAAAUAUUCUGGACACCACACAAACAUUUGCCUUUGAUAAAAAUAGAAAAGCUAAGGUAUUUAAUUUGUUCUUUGCUGUAGUUGGAAGCAAGGAAUUUGUUUAACUCUUUUCACAGGCCAAUCAACAACUGGUACCAGUAAACUCUGUCUACCAAUACUAGAACAGAUCGUGAGAAGAAAUCACCCUAGCGUUUAGCUUCUAGUGAAAAUUGAACCCGAGACCUUAUAGUACACAACAAACUUCAUUGAACACUAGGCGAUACCUUUGGAUGCUCCUAACUAGCAUCUUUGAAUUAAGACUAUAAUUGUUUCUUUCGUCCAGAGAAAGCAAUCCUGUUCGCGAUGUUAGUGGUGGUGGAACCACACGUAGAGUCGGAGGGUAAUAAUCAUGAAGACAGAGCUAGUCGAGAUGAAAAAUUAGUCAAAAACAUUAUGAAGGCAGCUCAAAUGCAUUUAGUUGUGGCAACUAUCUAUUAAUGACACACUAAUAUUAACCAUUAUACAGAAAAAAAGAAUAAUAUUAGAAUACUCUGCUUGAUGAAUCUCCAAAAUAGAAAACUAAGUACCACUAUUUUCCUUUGACCCAAAGAAAGGCAUUUGUUACCUAAACUUUGCCUUCAUCAAAAGAAAGGGAUAACUUCUUGUUUGGGUUUUAUGUUUUAUAACUAAGUAAAGCAUCUAGCACCCCCCGAACUAUGACCAAAUUUUUUACAACACACUCCAACUUCACAGAGGUCCUAUUACCCCCUUGAACUCAAUGUUAGCGUAUUUUUGUAAAUUGCAAACACAGGAUUCUCGGCCUGAAUAUGUAUAUAUGUGUAAGUCUCUGUGUGUGUAGCUGAUAAAGUUGGAGUAACUGGCAAAGCUGUUGUCAUGUGACUAGAAGGUCAUGGGUUCAAGUCUUGGAAACAACUGGCAGAAAUGCAAGGUAAGGCUGCGUACAAUACACCCUUGUGGCAGGCCCUUCUCUGAACCAUAGUGGGAGCUUUAGUGCACCCUUUUUUGUCAUGCUCUCUACAGUCUUUUUUCAUGGCUUCUCCGCUUCUAACAUUUCGUUUUUGUACUGCUUUGAAUUGUUAUUCCUUGCACUGAAGGUCUAUAAAAAUUCGGAAAGCUCUUUGUCUUCCAAUGUAGGGGAUAAGGUCUGCCUACCUUCUGCGCUACCCAAACUCCACUUGAGGAAUUUCACUGGGUAUAUUGUUGUUGUUGUACGAUGAAUUAUUUUGUGAAUGUACAUUGGGUCUAUAGCAUUGUCGGUGACGAAAAAAAAUGAUCUCCUGUGACCGCUUAUUAUUUGAAUAGAAGAAAAUGAUCUUUGUUAUAUCAUGUGAUAAAGAAUGUAUUACUAAAAUAACAUGUAAUGGACUAAAAAGACACAUCUGUCAUAUGUAAUUCAAGGUAUUGGGUAAAAACUGAAAUAUGUAGUUGAAUUAUACAUCUGCAAGCAAUAAGUACAAGGGAUGUUUUUUAUUUACAUUCUCGACUCUUAAAAAGAGCGACCUGAUAAUCUAUCUCCGCUAUGUUCUUAGUAAACAAGCAGCAUAUUGUCAAAUGUCAUUACUAUUACGCUGACCACCAGGUUGUGAGGCUUUCACAAUGGAUGUUUUUCAUUUAGAUUCUCGGCUAUUAAAAAGAGCGACCAAACAACCAAAAUUAGACAGGUGCACGUAGCUUAACCGCCUUAACCAUCAUUGAAACUAUAUCCGUCACAUUGAAAAUGCGUAUGUCAAAAACCCAUGCAACAUAGUCUUACCCAGGGUUUCGAUCUAGUGGUAAGAACAGACUUGUGAAUUAGGCGCACGUGACACGUUUGAACCCUGCAACUAGCAAAAUCGUUACACUUAAGUGGAAAAGUAUUUUUCCAGGACUUCUCCACUUCUAACAUUUCUUUUUUGAAUUGGAAAAGAAUACCUGGAUCUCUUAAGAUUCACUUCAUCUUAUGAUUCUUUUCUCAUAAAACAAGCAAGUAGAGUAGUCAAUUACUUAAGAAACGAACAAAACAUGACUACAGAACAAAGAAAAUCUUGUAGCCAACUCAAAUAAGCUACAGAGGAAACUUAUCGAAAUAAUAAUGGCGAUCAUUGCUCCUAUAUAUUAACCUGACUCAACAUAUAUAUGCUCCUCGCGGAACUACAAAAUCCAAACUGAAAACCAGCAGCACAUUUCCAACUAAUUGAAUUUGAAUUCAAGAAUAGAGAAGAAAAGGUUGAUAGAAGGAUACAGAGUAAAAUGCUCCGAAAAAGGUCUUUUACCAUUGUUGCACUAAACACAACAUAUUCCUCUACUGGCACUAAAACAACCCAUACAAAAUUGCAGGUACUGAGUUUAGCAAGGAUUUUUUGAUGAGCAGCGUAAAGAAACAUAAUAGAAUUAAAGCCUCAAUCGUAUCGGAGAGGCAGUGGCAUAUUUGAUUUGAGAGAGGAAAACUCCGAUCGUACAUCAUAUAGCUUACUCUAAAAUAAGGCAUCUUCAAUGAAUGAAAUUAAAAACCAUGACCAUAUUUUACAAUAAGAACUCAUAUUAAUUUUGAAACAAGAUGUUGAUCACAUAUCUAUCGUUCAAGAAAAAAAAAAGGGCAACCCGGUGCACUCAAGCUACCGCUAUGCGCGGUGUCCGGGGAAGGGCCCCACCAAAAGGGUGUAUCGUACGCAGCCUUACCUUGCAUUUUUGCCAAAGGCUGUUUCUAAGGCUUGAACCCGUGACCUCUUGGUCACAUGGAAGCAACUUUACCAGUUACUCCAAGGCUCCCCUUCCUAUCGUUCAAGAACAUUAUACAAAAAAAUUGAAGAACUACAAGCCAGUGAACAUGUCAAGGUUGUAACAUAGACUCGAGUCUCUAUGUAAGUUAUGUAGGAAGUUUCAGAUCACAAGGCCUGUUCUUUCACCAAAGCGACGUUACUUCUUACUAACACAUGAUAUUAUCUAUAGUAGCUUUCUCAUUCAUGGAAUGUGGGAUUCUUUAACCAAAGCAAUAGUACUUCUUUGUAACACGCAAUAUUAUCAAUAGUAGCUUGCUCUUGUAGCAUCUUUAUCAACUUCCAACGCCAAAUUGUAUGACUAACACAUAAGGCAGCUGCGACAUACUCGACUUUACAAGUUAAGAAAGGAACCGAAAAAAGAAAAAGAGAAAAAACAAGCGAAUAUAAUCAUAGGUUGCUUCUUAAGCACCAAAGUGAAUGUCAUUUCUCCAAAAGAAAAGAUUGUUGUGUAAAUCAUCGUAGCUAUGCGUAGGGUUGGGGCAAGAGGACCAGACCACAGGGGUGAGUAAGAAAGUGUGUAUAAUACUACGUUAAAAAAAGUUUUACUUGUGAAGAAGCUUGUGCUUCUUUUGCAGAAAUAAGGACAAAUAGUUUGAUUCGAUAUUUUCAAGGACAAAUAGUUUGAUUCGAUAUUUUCAAGGAAUCAACUAAGGAAAACUCAUUUUUCGUAUAUCGAAAACAAGAACUACUCAUAUGUUAGUUAAAACAAAAUUUGGAUUGUACAUAUUUGGAUCCAUUUUCUUUUCAUUUUUUCCUUAUUUUUUUGGAUUUUGGGAUUAAUAAAUAUUUCAAAUUAUUAUCUUGUGUUUCCUUUAUUAUAUUAUCAUCGAAAUAUUUUGGAUACGAGUAAAGUUGUUGUCAUGUGAGCUGCCCCUUGAAAAAAUGUAAGUUGAGGUUGCGUAAAAUAGAUCCUUGUGAUCAGCCCUUCCCCGAACACUGCACAUCGCGGGAGCUUAGUGCACUGGGCUGCCCUUUUUUGUUUUAAGAAAUAUUCUGGAUGCCAUAAAAACAUUUGCCUUUGAUAAAAAAGAAAAGCUAAUGCAUUUAAUUUGUUGUUUUUUUUAAUUGGAAGCAAGGAAUUUGUUCAACUUUUUUCACAGGGCCAUCAACAACAGUUAAUAGUAAACUCUGUCUACCAAUGCUAGAACAGAUCGGAAGAAAUCACCCUAGCGUUUAGCUUAUAGUGAAAAUUGAAUCCGAGACUUCACAGUGCACAACAAACUUCAUUGAACACUAGGCGACACCUUUGGAUGCUCCUAGGCGACAUCUUUGAAUUAAUAUUGUAAUUGUUUCUUUCAUCCAGAGAAAGCAAUCCUGCUAGAGAUGUUAGUGGUGGUGGAACCACACGUAGAGUCGGAGGGUAAUGAUCAUGAAGACAGAGCUAGUCGAGAUGAAAAAUUAGUCGAAAAAAUUAUGAAGACAACUCAAAUACAUUUAGUUGUGGCAACUAUCAAUUAAUGACACACUAAUAUUAACCAUUAUAUUGAAAUAAAGAAUAAUAUUAGAGUGCUCUUCUUGAUGAAUCUCCAAAAUAGAAAACUAAGUACCACUUUUUUCCUUUGACCCAAAGAAAGGCAUUUGUUACCUAAACUUAGCCUUCAUCAUAAGAAAGGGAUAACUUCUUUUUUGGGUUUUAUGUUUUAUAAUUUCAUUUGAGAUAAGCAUCUAGUACUCCUUGAACUAUGACCAAAGUUGCUACGACACACCCAACUUGUACGACCCGAACCGGGGCCCUGGCAAUGACGAGCAUUCCCGAACCCGAAGGCCCGAAAUGCCCUCUGUCUAUCUGGUAAUCAUGCUCAUAAUUCAUAUGAUCAAAGUAAUACGGAAUAGACACAAUAAUACGGAAACAUGGUCAACAAUUUAAGACAGUUAAAGGCCUGAAAACAUGCUCAACAAUAUUUAAUAAACAUCUGCAACAGUCUGCGAAAUCUCUACUGACAUACUAUCUGAAUAACUGGGACAAGGCCCCAGCAAACCAAAAACCAUACUGAAAUAAAUACCUAAAUGACUAGGCCUUCCGAAGCAAAGAAGGCUCACCAACUGAACUCUGAGACAACACUGUCUGUAGACUCUACUGAGGAUCUAGACCUCUAAACUACGCCUCAUUACCUGGGAGUAAGGGGGGUCAGCACAAUUGUACUGGCACGCGAAGAAAUCCAAAAUAGAGUAAUUGAACAUAUAUAUAUAUAUGUAUAUAUAUAUAUAUAUAUAUUUAUAAUACGUGAGAGCAAAUGUUCAUCAAACAUUAUGCAUAAAACAAUUUCUGAAAAAUACAUGGGUACCUGUCUGUAAAUCUCAAACUCUGAUCUGUGUAUUACUUUUGAGUUGGGUGGUAUCCCCUACAAGUCUGAUAUUCCACGGGCAAUAUGGAAUCCGCCAUUGACUCGGCGGGGAAGCCUCCAACCCGAGUAUGCCGCAAGGGUUGGAGUUCGUGAAUCUGAUACGCCACACGACACUUAAGUCAGCGUAUAAUAAUAUACUCGGCAAACCAUGAUUUUAGGCAAUGAGUUGCUUGAACUCAAUCCCUCUUCAGGGAACCACCUAACAUCUCUGUAUGCCCAUUUUUAACCUUUUCUAUANNNNNNNNNNNNNNNNNNNNNNNNNNNNNNNNNNNNNNNNNNNNNNNNNNNNNNNNNNNNNNNNNNNNNNNNNNNNNNNNNNNNNNNNNNNNNNNNNNNNNNNNNNNNNNNNNNNNNNNNNNNNNNNNNNNNNNNNNNNNNNNNNNNNNNNNNNNNNNNNNNNNNNNNNNNNNNNNNNNNNNNNNNNNNNNNNNNNNNNNNNNNNNNNNNNNNNNNNNNNNNNNNNNNNNNNNNNNNNNNNNNNNNNNNNNNNNNNNNNNNNNNNNNNNNNNNNNNNNNNNNNNNNNNNNNNNNNNNNNNNNNNNNNNNNNNNNNNNNNNNNNNNNNNNNNNNNNNNNNNNNNNNNNNNNNNNNNNNNNNNNNNNNNNNNNNNNNNNNNNNNNNNNNNNNNNNNNNNNNNNNNNNNNNNNNNNNNNNNNNNNNNNNNNNNNNNNNNNNNNNNNNNNNNNNNNNNNNNNNNNNNNNNNNNNNNNNNNNNNNNNNNNNNNNNNNNNNNNNNNNNNNNNNNNNNNNNNNNNNNNNNNNNNNNNNNNNNNNNNNNNNNNNNNNNNNNNNNNNNNNNNNNNNNNNNNNNNNNNNNNNNNNNNNNNAUGCGCCGCAUAUGAUAUCGCAUAUAUUUACAUAGUCGCCGCAUAUGAUAUCGCCUAUAUUUACAUAGGCUCCGCAUAUGAUAUCGCCUAUAGUUAUGCUUUCCAGUGGCCAUGUACGAUUGGUUAGGCGACGCAUACUAGUUUGAAAGGCCAUAAAUUCUUGUCGGGUGUCGGAUUUUAGCAAAAUUGGUAUCGUUGGAAAGUUAACUCGAAGACCUAUCAUUUGACAUAUAGUAGGCUCUCUAAUUCCACAUAUACAGAGAGCUAUGGUCGAUGGAAACUGACACAAAUUACAACAUCCACUAAAACUUAAUCGAUAGAAAUAGUUUCAACUCGUCCUUGAGUUGAAGGACCUCUAUGGUCUAAAUUCAUGCUCAAAUGGAUUCGCAUACUACAUAAACAUGUCAAAUUGGCAUAGGAUUUAAGGCUCUGGGAUUAUCAACGCAUUAGAGUCAUGGUUUUUCUUCUAGCCCAAAAUGCGGGGUGUUACAUUAUCUCCCCCUUGGGAUCAUUCGUCCCCGAAUGAUGGAUAGAAUGUCGAAGUCUUAAGGGUAUGGGAUAACGCGGACAUGAUAUGUUCCCUAAGAAAGAAUACACUGAUCGGAAACAUGACUACAAGAUUGGAACUACUGAUGUUUUAAAUGCUUAUGCCGGACAUGCAUAACCGAGGCAUGGAACACACGACUGAAGCUACUCAUAGGCUGAAUUCUCAUAAUGAAUCAUGCAUAUCUGAUGCAUGGAUCUGUGACCGAGUUGUUCUCAUGAAUGCAGGACUGAAUACACUGCUAAGCUGAACUUUUCUAUUGAACAUGCAUUUCUAAUGCAUACAUAUCUGACUGAACUGACGUAUGAACGUAUGGCUAUAUACGCAAUAAUAACUGAUGCGAAGCUUGUAAUAAGAAUCUAUGCAUGCAACUUAAUGGGGUAUCUACCCCUUGGUACCCUAUGUCCCUCUAUGAAUGCUCAAUUCACUAAGAUACUCAGAAAACUGAGGCGAUGCACAGGGCGCCUAUGAAUUAUACUCUAUCUUGGAAUAGUAGCAUGUUUGAGAUUUUGAGUAGCAUGAAUAUGUGCAAAGACGAGAGAACAAGUCAUGCGAAUCUAACUACUAAACUGACUUAUUGGCCAUAUAGACUGAAUUAUACUACAUCCUCAUACUUAACUGGAGUAUCUCUUCAUCACAAUUCUCUAAAGAAAUUCUAGUAGUAAUAGGGAGCCAUGAAUCUUGGGUCUGGAUUACAUAAGACAUCCAACUGAGGAAUCACUACAUUGACACUACUCUGUAGUCUGGAACAUAGGCAUAUAACUCCUGAAUUAGGAUAGAAUUACCAGGCCUUUGGCUUUACAACUUCUUACUUUCAAGCUUAUCACACUUCUCGAAUAUCACUUAACUAUACUAUUCUCCUUAAAUAUCAUAUUCAUUCAACUCAGCUUAAAAUUCUCAUAUGAUCAUUGACAAAUCUUUCUACUAAUGUCGGAAAUAACUUAAUCCCUUCACCGUGAUCAAGCCUAACUCUAAGUCACAAAAAUACAACAUGCCAGACCACGCUAUUAUUCUAAACCAUAUGAUNNNNNNNNNNNNNNNNNNNNNNNNNNNNNNNNNNNNNNNNNNNNNNNNNNNNNNNNNNNNNNNNNNNNNNNNNNNNNNNNNNNNNNNNNNNNNNNNNNNNNNNNNNNNNNNNNNNNNNNNNNNNNNNNNNNNNNNNNNNNNNNNNNNNNNNNNNNNNNNNNNNNNNNNACAUAUUCUCUAAACCACUAUCAAUAUCACUCCCACGAGCUACCCCAAGAACAUACACAUACAAAAUUCCACUAACCAUCACAUAAAUAAAAACUUGGCUCCAAAUCUUACUUCAUACUUAUGGCCUUAUCUAAACAAGCGUACUAUGAUCUUCCAUCAACAAGGAAUAAUUACUCACCACCACUAUCAUCGCACAAGGAGGAGUCACAAAAAGGUUAGAACAUAAGAUCUGGAGGCAUAGAAUGAUACAAUGUGAAGCUUGACAUUCAUCUGAGGCCUGAGGAAUAGCAAAACAACAACAGGGACACACCAAAGCGCUCUGAAUUUAGGGUAUUCGUGCCUAUAAGAUGAAUCUCGCCAAUCAUUUGGCGUAAAACAUGAGUUAUGAAAAUGGAGCACAUUAUAAAGCAUGAGUACAUGUGUUACGAACCAAACCAGGGCCUGGCCGUGACAAGCAUUUUGAACCAUUGAGGCCCGAAACACCCCUAUCUGUCUGGUAAUCAUGUACCUAAUUCAUAUGAUCAAAGAAAUGCAGAAAAAAACAACAAUUUGGAAACAUGGUCAUAAAUAUGAAAAGAGACAAUAACGGGGAGAUAAUGUUCCCUCAACAUUAAUUAUCCUCUGAACAACUAUCGAAAAUCUCUAACAAAUGACUGAAACAAUGUCUAUCUGAAAACUGGGACAAGGCCCCCAGUAGACCCAAAAACUGAAUAUAAGAUAAAAGAACUGCAGGACAUAAGACCUUCCGAAAUAUAGAAGGCUCGCCACUUGUCUCUACAGCUCUGUCUGAAAGUUCUACUGAUUCUCUUGACCCCUAGACUGGGCCUCUUAACCUGAGAGGUUGGAGAGGGGAGGAGGUCAGCACAAAACUACUGGCAUAUAGAGAUAUCAAAACAAAACAUAAUAUUUUUACAAAGUAUAGUUGAGAGCCAUUAUAAAGCAAUUUCGUAUCAAAUCAUUUGAUAACACAUGGGCAUAAUGCAAUAGUUUCUCAACAACAAUGAAAUGCAACUGAGCUAGGUGGAAUACCCUACAUAAUUUACACCAACUGUCAAACCUCAUUGAGAUUUGAGUAUAAGUGAGGGAGAGACACAUAAGAUCACAUAGCAUAGUGUCUCGACCCAAUGGUAGUGCCCAAGAUCACUUAGCUCGGGCUCCUACCUAUAGUCCAAAUUUGGGAAUGACAUAAAGUCAAGUACACAAGAUCACUUAGCCUGGUACCAAUAUUCCGUGCUGGCAAACACAUUUUUCCAGUAAUGAGCCCUUGUGUCUCAAACGCCUUCUUCGGACAUCCACUUAUAUCAUGUAAAAUCAAUGUAUUGAAACUUUAUUUGAUUCAAUCAUGUAUCGUAUUCUGUAGGGUAUCGUCAUACCUGACUUGCAAGUCAUCAAUAUCACAUCCACAUAUGCAUAAUCAUGUAAAAACCAAGGUGCUUCAUUAUUUACAAGUGGUGAAAAAUAAUUAUUUCAAAUUCAUGCUCUCUUUUGUUGAUCGCAAUAUAAUAUGGAGUAUCGAAACAUUAUCAUGGGAAUUUGAAAAUAAUUUAUUAUUCACAUUUAUGAAACUUCCGUGGAAAAUCUCAAAUCACAUAUGCAUGGUUUCAACCAUUGAAGUAUAUAGGCAAACAAUUCCCACGACAUAAAGAAAAAUGACUUAGAAAUCAUAUUGAAAGCAAGUUAUUAGCAUUUGAUUGAAAACCCCCAUUUAAAAGCAUGCAUGUUCAUAAANNNNNNNNNNNNNNNNNNNNNNNNNNNNNNNNNNNNNNNNNNNNNNNNNNNNNNNNNNNNNNNNNNNNNNNNNNNNNNNNNNNNNNNNNNNNNNNNNNNNNNNNNNNNNNNNNNNNNNNNNNNNNNNNNNNNNNNNNNNNNNNNNNNNNNNNNNNNNNNNNNNNNNNNNNNNNNNNNNNNNNNNNNNNNNNNNNNNNNNNNNNNNNNNNNNNNNNNNNNNNNNNNNNNNNNNNNNNNNNNNNNNNNNNNNNNNNNNNNNNNNNNNNNNNNNNNNNNNNNNNNNUAUUUCCAAGGAUAAUAGAUGUUUCUUGAAGCUUGCAGAUUGGUGAUUCCGAAUAUGUAAUUAUCUUUGAAAACCUACGGUCAAAUCUUGAACUAUUUGGGUUUUUAUUUUGAAACCCUAAGGAGAAUCUUGAGCACUUUUGAUGAAAGAAUAUGUAUUUUGGGGUCCUUGGAACUAAAUCUCGUGUUUUAGGGCUAAGUAAGGGUUGAAAAGGACCACUUUGUCCUCAACACGGAGUGUUUAAAUCACCAGAAUUCCUUACAUAGGCGCUGCCCAUCUCGUUGCCUAUGUUCACAUAGGCGCCGCCUAGGCUAUCGCCUAUGUUUACAUAGGCGCCGCCUAGGCUGUUGCCUAUGUUUUCCAGUGGCCAUGGGCGAUUGGUUAGGCAACGCUUAUCACUUUAAAGGGCCAUAACUUCUUGCUCGGGUGUCGGAUUUUCUCCAAAUUAGUAUCAUUGGAAAGCUAACUCGAAUACCUAUCAUUUGACCCAUAGUAGGCUUCAUAAUUCAACAUAUACAGAGAGUUAUGGUCAAUGGAAGCUGACACACUUUACAACGUCUACUAAAACUUAGUCGAUUGAAAUAGUUCCAACUCGUCCCUGAGUUGAAGGACCUCUAUGGUCUAAAUUCAAGCUUGAGCAGAUUCACAUGCUACACAAUAAUUAACAAGCCGUAUUGGCAUAGGAUUUUAUGGCUUCGGGAUUAGCAACGCAUCAAAAUCAUGGUCUAUAUUGUAGCCCGAAUUGCGGGGCAUUACAUUAUCCCCCCUUAGGAUCAUUCGUCCCCAAAUGAUGAUGCGGGACACAGAUAGACACAAUUUCAAGCAUAAUAAAGGACUAGGAAAGAUAUGAUAGGAAUAGUACUUUUUUUCUUCUCCUCCAUCGAAGCAAACAAAUUGGGAUAUCUGAGCUCCCAAGUUGCUUCUUCGACUAUCUAAUUCCUCCACAGUACCUUUACUGAGGGUAUCUCUUUGCUCCUCAGCUUUCGAACUUGGCGAUCUAAAAUUUCAAUGGGCUCUUCUUUGUAAGACAAGGAGUCUUUCACUUUGAUGCCCUAUACUGGCAAUACCAUAGAAUAAUCUCCAAUGCAUUUCCUCAACAUGGAUACAUGGAAUACCGAAUGAACGGAACCCAAACUUGCAGGCAAUUCUAACUCAUAUGCAACUGUACCAAUCUUUUUCAAAAUCUGAUAUGGCCCUAUAUAACGAGGGCUCAAUUUACCCCUUUUUCCAAAAUGCAUAACUCCUUUCAUAGGAGAAACCUUGAAAAACACCCAAUCACCAAUUUCAAACUCUAGUUCUCUUCUCCGAACAUCGGCAUAGAACUUCAAAUGACUCUGAGCAGUCUUGAGUCGUUCUCUAAUGAUUUUUACUUUCUCCAUCGCCUGAUGAACAAGAUCAGGCCCAUACAACUGAGUCUCACCCACUUCAUACCAUCCUAUCAGAGACCUACAUCUCCUCCUAUACAAGGCCUCAAAAAGAGCCAUCUUGAUGCUGGUAUGGUAGCUAUUAUUAUAGGCGAAUUCAACCAGUGGCAGGUGAUCUACCCAACUACCUUUGAAAUCAAUGAUGCAUUCCCUCAAUAUAUCUUCGAGGGUCUGAAUGGUACGCUCAUCUUGCCCAUCCAUCUAAGGGUGGAAAGUUGUGCUCAAAUUCACUUGUGUACCUAAACCCUUCUGAAAGGAUCUCCAAAACUGAGAUAAAAAUUACGUACCUCUGUCGGAUAUAAUGGGUACUGGUGCCCCAUGCAAUCGAACUAUCUCCUCAAUGUAAAUCUUAGCAUAAACCUCUCCCGAAUAAUUAGUCCUCACAGGCAAAAAGUGGGUUGACUUGGUCAAUCGAUCUACAAUCACCCAUAUAGAAUCAUACUGGUUUCGGGAUCUCGAAAGUCCUAUAAUGAAGUCCAUAUUUAUCAUCUCCCACUUUUAUAAAGGCUGGACUAUCUCUUGGGAAGUACCACCCGGCCUCACUUGUCCUUCAAUUUCUCAAAACUAUUUUCACACAAGUCAGACCACACAAACUUUAUCUUUUUCUGAGUCAGUUUAGUAAGCGGAGCAGCUAUGGAAGAAAAACUCUCUAUGAACCUUCUGUAAUACCCCGCCAAACCCAAGAAGCUCUGAAUAUCGGUUGGAGUCAUGGAUCUGGGCCAUUUUCUUACUACUUCAACUUUCUGGGGAUCCACUCUUAUCCCGUCACUAGACACAAUAUGCCCUAGGAAGGCAAUAGCGUCUAACCAGAAUUCACACUUUGAAAAUUUGGCAUACAGCUGAUGAUCCUUAAGGGUCUACAGGAUAAUUCGGAGGUGAUUGGUGUGAUCCUCUUUACUCUUAGAAUAGUUCAGAAUAUCAUCAAUAAAUACAAUGACGAACAAGUCAAGAAACUGACGGAACACAUACAACCUUUGGAGAAAAGCUUUCGGGCUCUAAGAUAAGAGAUAAAGUGACCGUGACCAUAUCGGGUUCGAAAGGCUGUCUUGGGUAUGUCUGACUCCCUAACUUUCAACUGAUGAUAACCCGAAUGAAGGUCUAUGUUUAAAAAAUACUUGGCACCCUGAAGCUGGUCAAAAAGGUCAUCAAACCUAGGAAUAGCAUAUUUAUUUUUAAUCGUGACCUUAUUCAGCUGACGGUAGUCUAUGCCCUUCCGAAGGGACCCAUCCUUCUUUCGCACGAAGAGCAUGAGUGCACCCCAUGGGGAAACACUAGGACGAAUAAAACCUUUGUCUAGGAGGUCUGUAAGCUAUUCCUUUAACUCCUUUAGCUCCGCAGGAGCCAUUCUAUAUGGUGGAAUAGAAAUAGAUGAGUUUAUGGCAACACAUCAAUGCCAAAAUUAUCUCCCUAUCAGGGGGUAUCCCUGGGAGAUCUUCGGGAAAGAAUUUUGGGAAUUCAUUCACUACAAGGACUGACCGCAGAGAAAGGUUUCCAACUUUUGAAUCUUUUACUUGGAUUAGAUAAUACAUACAACCUUUGGAGAUAAGCUUUCGGGCUCUAAGAUAAGAGAUAAAGUGACCUCUAGGUUCCACAGAACUCCCUACCCAAACAACUGGUGUCUCAUUCGAGAAAGAAAAAGUGACCUUUCGGGUUCUGCAAUCAAGGGUGGCAUAACACGAAUGGAGCCAGUCCAUCCCAAGGAUGGCAUCAAAGUCUAUCAUAUCNNNNNNNNNNNNNNNNNNNNNNNNNNNNNNNNNNNNNNNNNNNNNNNNNNNNNNNNNNNNNNNNNNNNNNNNNNNNNNNNNNNNNNNNNNNNNNNNNNNNNNNNNNNNNNNNNNNNNNNNNNNNNNNNNNNNNNNNNNNNNNNNNNNNNNNNNNNNNNNNNNNNNNNNNNNNNNNNNNNNNNNNNNNNNNNNNNNNNNNNNNNNNNNNNNNNNNNNNNNNNNNNNNNNNNNNNNNNNNNNNNNNNNNNNNNNNNNNNNNNNNNNNNNNNNNNNNNNNNNNNNNNNNNNNNNNNNNNNNNNNNNNNNNNNNNNNNNNNNCUGUGGAGGCGGCUUGGGACUCCCCGCAUUUACUCCAGCAGAUGGACAAUCUCUUUGAAGGUAACCCACUUUGUCACAAGUAUAGCAGUUUCUUCCCUCAAACCAGCACUUCCCUGAAUGAUUCCUUCCGCAAACCUCACACCGCGGACAAGUACAAUGCUACUGGGCCACACUUCCCUGAGACUGUGUACCUAGAGCUUUGGACCCAUGAGGAGUCUGAAAAUUCCGAGUUUGUCUAUCUGUUGGUGGUCUGGGUGCUGGGGUGCUGGCUGCUAACUAUGCAUUAUUCCAAAACUUCUUCUUUUUCGACCACUUAUUACCCCAGUUACCAUUCUGCGGCUGACUCUGGUGUUGGUCCGUAGAUCUAUCUCUCUUAGCCUGUCUGUCUUCCACUCUAGAUUCAGCAAUAUUUUUCUUCUUCUCUUCCACUUAAUGCAUAUGAACGGUCAGUCGAGCAAAGUCUAACUCCUUAUUCAACAUAGCCCCCUGGAACUCAAGUACCAGGUCAUCAGCAAGGCCAGAUGCAAACUUCCUCAUCCGGGCCUUCAUAUUACUAGUCAACUCUAGUGCAUAGCGGUCUAGUUUAUUAAACUUCAAAGUGUACUCCUAGACACUCAUACUUCCCUUCUUCAGAUUCAUAAACUCUUCCGCUUUGGCCUUCCUCAACUCUAGAGGAAAGAAUCAAUCAAAGAAGGCUUCCAAAAAUUCACCCCAAACUGUGGGCUCAUCACUUUCACCUUUUUCAUCUUCCCAAUCGGCAUACCACUGACUCGCAACAUCCUUGAGCUGAUAGGUUUCUAGCUCCACCCCUUCAACCUCAUCCACAUGCAUCACCUUAAAGAUCUUUUCCAUCUCAUCCACGAACUCCUGUGGAUCUUCCUUCACCUUGGUGCCAGUGAACUUAGGUGGGUUCAUCUUCAUGAAAUGUCCGACUCUAGUAGCCUUAGAUGUAAUAGAUGCAGACCCAACAUCUUCCGAUCGUUGGGAAUGGUUGGCUACCAACUGUGUCAGCAUAUGAAUAGACCGUCUGAAUUCUGCAUUUGAAAUAUCUCCCUAAGCAGUUGGGGGACGGUUGACAUUAGUCCACAGAGCUCGAGGUGGACCGGUCGGGACUGGAGGGACUCCCGAAGUAGGGAAAAAUUCUGGAGUGUGAGCCCUAUUAUGGGUCCGCAUCCCAUGGGUGGGAUGGACCUCAUCUACCUGAGCAUUCUGAUCGAUGAUACAACAUGGAGGCAUAACUAUGAUUCUAAAACACAAGUGAUCAUUGAUUAGGGGACAGUUCAGACUCUGAAGCACGAACUAAAUCACAAAGAUGGGAAACAUUUCCUAAAUACCUAUCAGCCUCCUGCUUAUAAGUGUGGCAUGCUACACACCCAUAAACAAGACUCUACCUUACGUGAUUUCGCAGACACCCUGGGACCAUGAACCGUGCUUUGAUACCAAGUUUUUCACGACCCAAACCAGGGCCUGGUCGUGACGAGCAUUUCGAACAAUUAAGGCCCGAAACACCCCUAUCUGUCUAGUAUUCAUGCACCUAAUUCAUAUGAUCAAAGAAAUGCGGAAAAAACACAAUAAUUCAGAAACAUGGUCAUAAAUAUAAAAAGAGACAAUAACAGAGAGAUAAUGUUCCCUCAACAUCAAUUAUCCUCUGAACAACUGUCUGCGAAAAUCUCAAACAAAUGUCUGAAACAAUGUCUAUCUGAAAACUGGGACAAGGCCCCAUUAGACCCAAAAAUUGAAUAUAAGAUAAAAGGACUACAGGACAUAAGACCUUCCGAAACAUAGAAGGCUCACCACUUAUCUCUAGAGCUCUGUCUGAAAGUUCUACUGAUUCUCUUGACCCCUAGAUUGGGCCUCUGAACCUGAGAGGUUGGAGAGGGGAGGGGGUCAGCACAAAAGUACUGGCAUGCAGAGAUAUCAAAAUAAAACAUAAUAUUUUUACAAAGUAUAGUUAAGAGCCAUUAUAAAGCAAUUUCGUAUCAAAUCAUUUGAAAGCACAUGGGUGUAAUGCAGUAGUUUAUCUCAACAAUAAUGAAAUGUAACUGAGCUAGGUGGAAUACCCUACAUAAUUUACACCAAUUGUCAAACCUCGGUUGCCGCCGAGAUUAGAGUAUAAGUGAGGGAGAGACACAAAAGACCACACAGCAUGGUGUCUCGACCCAAUGGUAGUGCCCAAGAUCACUUGUCUCGAGCUCCUACCUAUAGUCCAAAUUUGGGAAUGACAUAAAGUCAAGUACACAAGAUCACUUAGCCUGGUACCAAAUUCCCGUGUCGGCAAACACGUUCUUCCAGCGACGAGCCCUUGUGUCUCAAACGCCUUCUUCAGGCAUCCACCUAUCUCAUAUAAAAUCAAUGCAUUCAAACUUCAUUUGAUUCAAUCAUGUAUCGUAUAUUGUAGGGUAUCGUCAUACCUGACUUGCAAGUUAUCAAUAUCACAUCCACAUAUGCAUAAUCAUGUAAAAACCAAGGUGCUUCAUCAUUUACAAGUGGUGAACGAUAAUUAUUUCAAAUUCAUGCUCUCUUUUAUUGGUCACAAUAUGAUAUGGGGUAUCAAGACAUUAUCAUGGGAAUUUGAAAGCAAUUUAUCAUUCAUAUUUAUCAAACUUCCAUGGAAAAUCUCAAAUCACAUAUGCAUGGUUUCAACCAUUGAAGUAUAUAGGCAAACAAUUCCCAUGACAUAAAGAAAAAUGACUUAGAAAUCAUAUUGAAAGCAAGUUAUUAGCAUUUGAUUGAAAACCCCCAUUUAAAAGCAUGCAUGUUCAUAAAAACUACACCCAUGAGAUUUUAGGAAAAUCCCACGUACCUCGAUUACUAUGAAUAUUAGNNNNNNNNNNNNNNNNNNNNNNNNNNNNNNUCCAAAUAUGUAAUUAUCUUUGAAAACCUACGGUCAAAUCUUGAACUAUUUGGGUUUUUAUUUGAAACCCUAAGGAGAAUCUUGAGAACUUUUGAUGAAAGAAUAUGUAUUUUGGGGUCCUUGGAACUAAAUCUCGUGUUUUAGGGCUAAGGGUUGAAAAGGACCACUUUGUCCUCAACUCGGAGUGUUUAAAUCACCAGAAUUCCUUACAUAGGCGUCGCCCAUCCUGUUGCUUAUGUUCACAUAGGUGCCGCCUAGGCUAUCGCCUAUGUUUGCAUAGGCGCCGCCUAGGCUAUCGCCUAUGUUUACAUAGCUGCUGCCUAGGCUAUUGCCUAUGUUUUCCAGUGGCCAUGGGCGAAUUGUUAGGCGACGCUUAUCACUUUGAAGGGCCAUAACUUCUUACUCGGGUGUUGGAUUUUUGCCAAAUUGGUAUCGUUGGAAAGCUAACUCAAAUACCUAUCAUUUGACCCUUAGUAGGCUUCCUAAUUUGACAUAUACAGAGUGUUAUGGUAGAUGGAAGCUGACACACUUUACAACAUCUACUAAAACUUAGUCGAUCAAAAUAGUUCCAACUCGUCCUUGAGUUGAAGGACCUCUAUGGUCUAAAUUCAAGCUUGAGCGGAUUCAUAUGCUACACAAUAAUUAACAUGCCGUAUUGGCAUAGGAUUUUAUGGCUUCGGUAUUAGCAACGCAUCGAAAUCAUGGUCUAUAUUGCAGCCCAAAUUGCAGGGUGUUACAACAUGACUCUCUAUCGUAUGUAUGAACGUGAACUGAUCAUGGAACUAAAUCGUAAAGCAUGAGUAGGUAUUAGGAUCACUGAGAAAUACUGAGAUAGGAAUGGGUUGAGAUUCACCCUUACUUUUUGAUGUUCUAUAUCAUCAUGACAUCACUAUAAGAAUCUGAGAGUCUUACUUGGUUAUUCAUUUAGUCAUCUCCCCCUUAGCUUCAAUCCAUCAUCUUAAGUUUUGGGAGGUACCUUACUAGACUUUAAACUUAACUGCACUCACUGCACUCUGGGUUCUGAAAUAUGACAAUACACAAAAUUAAUAAAACUUAACCCGAAAGACCACACAUGAGAGUGGAAUGCCCACUGCUAACACUACCUCCUGAGGCACACUCUAACACUUACUAACUUCGAAUCUUCAUGAGUAUCCCCAAAGUUGAAGUGUACACCCUCUAGUGCCUCUACUCUUAUUUCUAUUAGCACAACUUUCAAGGACUCGAGCUUAGAUUAUAACACCUAACAUGGGUAUCACCAAGUCUUCAAUGAGCCACUCUAUUGCUAGCAUAGUCUACCAACAUAGAAACUUUAAACUUAUUUUCCUCUACCAUGAGAAUCAAGCUCAUGUCAAAAGGCUCAACGCUAUCAAUCAAAGGUCCUUAACUUGGCUAUUUAGAACACCAUAUACCAUCUAGCUAGUCUUUUUCCAUCUAGCAACUCAACGGUACUAGUAGCCACACAUAACAUGUAACAGCCUUAGAAAAAUACUACAGCUUCAUACGACCUUGGGCAUACUUCUACAUCACAUAUACAAUGUCAUACUUCAUUACGAAUCAAAUAAACUUAGGCACUUGCAUACACUGUUCAAGCCUAUAGAUCACUUCCAUAUAACUAGUAUCAUUAACCAAGGAAUCAUCACAUCCACCUCCAUGGCCAUCAAUUGUUUCAAACUUAAUGUCUAGUGCUAAACAUGAUUUACAACCAACCUUACACACAAUCCUCACUUAGAAACUAUGAAAUAAACAUCAAGAAACACUAGUACACUAGAAAUUCAUAACCACAAUCACAAUAAUGGAUCAUGACCUUACAGUUUUCCUUGUCAUAAUCCAUCAGCACGUACUAUUUCAACACAUCAAGCUUACAAAUCAAAUCCCAUGAAACAUGUAUCAUCAAUCUCUUUCCACUAUUCANNNNNNNNNNNNNNNNNNNNNNNNNNNNNNNNNNNNNNNNNNNNNNNNNNNNAAAUAUACUAAUCCUUCAAAUUGGGAUAUUCUACCCAAAUACUUCAAAAAUAUACUACAUACUUUCUCACAAGUAGUAUUAGUUUACAACUACCAAUGAGAAGAAGGUUAAGGGGUAAGGUCACAUAAUAGACAUGAUCAACCUUAAGCUUAUAUUAUAACCAUACAAUCUUAUCUACUUAUACGGCUUUCUCAUAUCACACUUACUUACCCCAAUGGGAAUUUAGACUACCUUCAGAUACCCCAUAUGACAAUGAGUCUAUACUUAAAAUUUACUGGCUAAUCUAGCCAUUUUCAUUCAUAGCAUAUAAGGGGUUUCUAUAACCACCUUAAAUAUCCACUCUGGGCUCUUUAUCUAUUUUGAAAGGAAGAAAACAAAUAACAUUCUAAGUCAACACUUCCUCCAUGGACUACCAUACAAUCCAUAAAUGGUACCACCACGAAAGGGUAAAUCAUUCUCAAUCAACGGUUAUUCAACUAUAAUAUUUAAUCACAAAAGUCACCCUCACUCUGACCUCUAACCUUAUGACUUCAUAUCACAAACUUCUUGGUCUAAUUUCACUACCAAUAGGUCAUGACACCAACACUCUAACUUAUACUACUACUCGGGUGGAAAUACAGUUCCAACAAACACAAGAACAACAAGAUGAAUAGCAAGUUGCUAGUGAAUCGAAAUAGGCCUUCCGCGGCUUCACUAGACUUUUUUUUCAACAACACAACGAUAUCAAGAUUACAAGAGAUAGAAUCUUGAUACACAAUAUUCAAUGACUCAAGAAUACACAUCUUACUUUUGUCUUAAUUGAACGCCUCAUAAGAACGAGGACACAAUUUUACACUAGGGAACUACUCUCCCGUCCUUUGUGGGACUUCUAAAAUUUCUGCUAGAUAAUCAGAGAAUAUCUAGAAACACCAGAGUGAGGAAGAAAUUAGGAUAACUUUUCUUUUCGUAUGGGUGACACCAUAGCACGAAUUAAAGUAUGAAGGAGGAACAUUCUGACUCUAUAGCACGAACUAGAACAUGAAGAAAGAGAGACAUUCCUAAAUGCCUUGUAGCCUCCUGCUUAUAAGUGUGGCGCACUACACACCCAUAAAUAAUACUCUACCCGACGCGAUUUUGCAGACACCUUGGGACCUUGAACCGUGCUUUGAUACCAAGUUUGUCACGACCCAAACUGGGGCCCUACCCGUGAUGAGCAUUCCCAAACCCGAAGGCCCGGAACGCCCUCUGUCUAUCUGGUAAUCAUGCAUAUAAUUCAUAUGAUCAAAGUACUACGGAAUAGACACAAUAAUACAGAAACAUUGUCAACAAUUUAAAAUAGUUAAAGGCCUGAAAACAUGCUCAACAAUAUUUAAUAAACAUCUGCAAUAGUCUGCGAAAUCUCUACUGAUAUACUAUCUGAAUAACUGGGACAGGGCCCCCAGCAGACCAAAAACCAUACUGAAAUAAAUACCUAAAUGACUAGGCCUUCUGAAGCAAAGAAGGCUCACCAACUGAACUCUGAGACAACCCUGUCUGCAGACUCUACUAAGGAUCUAGACCCCUAGACUGCGCCUCAGUACCUGGGAGGAAGGGGGUCAGCACAAUUGUACUGGCCCCCCUACAAGUCUGAUAUUCCACGGAAGAUAUGGAAUCCUCCAUUGACUCAGCGGGGAAGCCUCCAACCUGAGUAUGCGCAAGUGUAACGCCCCAUAAAAGGCGUGCAUAGAUUAGUCUUUAAUAUUGAACUCUUAGACUUAAAGACUUAAAAUUUUCUAAGUGUAAAAUGAGACUGAGUCAUUUUAGCUGGCAAUCUUUGGGAUACAACUUUUCAACCUUCUCGACAUCCAUUUUUAGAUUUUCAAGUUGCGUUACGAUCGGUAAAGCUCAUAGUGCAUCUCGGAUAAGUUUUGGAAUUUCUCAGAACACAUAAGGCUGCGUUUGGAUUUCAAAAUAGUAGCAAAACGCAUAGCCUAUUGCGCAGUUUUCAGCAUUUUAGGGUCAACUUCAAACAAUCAUAACUCCCUGUAUAUAUGAACUGUGUGAGGUAUAAUAUAUCAAACAAAAUAUCUUUGAGUCCUAUUUCAAAUACAGUUGGUUUCAUCCAAUUUGAUUAUAUGAGUAACACGUUAUAGUCGAUUUACUCCAGAUAAUCAAACUGUCAACUGAGAGACAGAUUUGACCUUAAUUGUUCCUUAGGGGUAUUUUGGUCAUCCUUCACCCGUAUAUAUACCACCAACACGGGAUUUAAUACCUCAAACACCAAAAUAAACCUUCAUUCAUCAAAAUUUCUCAAGAACACUCCUUAGGGUUUCAAAAUAAAAACCCAAAUAGUUCAAGAUUCGACUGUAGGUUUUCGAAGAUAAUUACAUAUUCGGAAUCACAAAUCCACGAGCUUCAAGAAACAUCUAGUAUUUUAGGAAAUAGAGGUAUGGGUGUAGUUUUUAUGAACAUGCAUGCUUUUAAAUGGGGGUUUUCAAUCAAAUGCUAAUAACUUGCUUUCAAUAUAAUUUCUAAGUCAUUUUUCUUUAUGUCAUGGGAAUUGUUUGCCUAUAUACUUCAAUGGUUGAAACCAUGCAUAUGUUAUUUGAGAUUUUCCAUGGAAGUUUGAUAAAUACGAAUGAUAAAUUGCUUUCAAAUUCCCAUGAUAAUGUCUUGAUACCCCAUAUCAUAUUCUGACCAAAAAAAGAGAGUAUGAAUUUUAAAUAAUUAUUGUUCACCACUUGUAAAUGAUGAAGCACCUUUAUUUUACAUGAUUAUGCAUAUGUGGAUGUGAUAUUGAUGACUUACAAGUCGGGUAUGACGAUACCCUAUAGAAUAUAAUACGUGAUUGAAUUAAAUAAAGUUUGAAUGCAUUGAUUUUACAUGAGAUAGGUGGAUGCCCGAAGAAGGCGUUUGAGUGUAAGGGCUCAUCGCUGGAAAUUGUGUUUGCCAACAUGAGAAUUUGGUACUAGGCUAAGUGAUCUUGUGUACUUGACUUUAUUCUCAAAUUGGGACUAUAGGUAGGAGCCCGGGCUAAGUGAUCUUGGGCACUACCAUUGGGUCAAGACACCAUGCUUCAUGGUCUUGUGUGUCUCUCCCUUACUUAUACUCUAAUCUCAGAAGCAACCGAGGUUUGAUAGUUGGUGUAAAUUAUGUAGGGUAUUCCACCUAGCUCAGUUACAUUUCAUUGUUGUUGAGAAACUAUUGCAUUUUGCCCAAGUGUUUUCAAAUGAUUUGAUAUGAAAUUGCUUUAUAAUGGCUCUCAACUAUAUUUUGUAAAAAUAUUAUGUUUUGUUUUGAUAUCUCUGCGUGCCAGUACUUUUGUGCUGACCCCCUCCCCUCUUCAACCUCUCAGGUUCAGAGGCCCAGUCUAGGGGUCAAGAGAAUCAGUAGAUCAUUCAGACAGAGUUGCAGAGACAAGUGGUGAGCCUUCUAUGUUUUAGAAGGUAUUAUGUCCUGCAGUCCUUUUUAUCUUAUAUUUAGUUUUGGGGUCUACUGGGGGCCUUGUCUCAGUUUAUAUACAGUUACUUGACUCAAUCAUUUGUUAGAGAUUUCCGCAGACAGUUGUUUAGAGGUUGAUUGAUGUUGGGGGAACUUUAUUUCCCCGUUAUUGUUUCUUUUCAUAUUUAUGACCAUGUUCCCGAAUUAUUGUGUUUCUUUCACAUUACUUUGAUUAUAUGAAUUAGGUGCAUGAUUACCAGACAGAUAGGGGUGUUUUGGGCCUCCAUGGUUCGAAAUGCUCAUCACGAUCAGGCCCUGGUUUGGGUUGUGAUAAACUUGGUAUCAAAGCACGAUUCAUGGUCCUAGGGUGUCUGCAAAAUCGUGUCGGGUAGAGUCUUAUUUAUGGGUGUGUAGCGCGUCAUACUUAUAUGUAGGAGGCUACUAGGCGUUUAGGAAUGUCUCUCUUUCUUCAUGUUCUAGUUCGUGCAAUAGAGUCAGAAUAUUCCUCUUUCAUACAUUAAUUCGUGCUAUGGUGUCACCCAUACAAAAGUAAAAAGUCAUCCCACAUUCUUUCCUUACUCUACUGUCCUCAGAUAUGUCUCAUUAUUGAGGUGAUUCAAGUACAUAAGUUUAGAAUCUCAAUGGUAUGGUCCUUUCUGAUUGUACAAUAUAAGAUUUAAAAUUUGUGCAAGGACUUGAUAAGAGUCCGUUAGUGCUUCAAUGUGUAUUGAUUUUGAUGUAAACGUUGAUCCUGAUGGAAUCGUGCUUUUCAGCUUGAGGUAUUAAUUGCAUUUAAUCCCCUUCAAAUUUAUGUUACAAAUGUCUUGCUUAAGGGGGGAUGAUGUGUAGUAGAAUGUUGGUGUUAGCAGCUUAUUCUCUAUGUAUAUAUAGCCUACUCUUGUUUUAGUUAGUUUCAAGCUUUUCAGAUUAUAUUGUAAACCUUAGUCUUUCUUUCCUUCAAUAAAGUUCUAUUAACAUGGUAUCAGAGCUAGUUCGAUCCAUGUCCUUUGAUUUGUUGGUUGAAGAUUUUGUAGCAGGCACCUACUGCGCGGAUCGAUUCGUUGAGGUGCUGCUGUAUUCGUUUGCUAUUUUCGUUGGGUUUUUUGGUUGGAUUGAUUCGUUGCUGUCUUCGUUUGCUGUCUGGUAUUGUUCGUCUUUCGUUCUUUUGCUUGCUGCCAUUGUUGUUCGUUCGGAAUUGUUCAACCUAGGGUUUUGCAUCUUUUUGUUUUUUUGAAUUGUUUGUGUGUUGCUGUGUUUACAAUGACUGGAAAGGAUGAUUCUCUCCAGUCCAUUAGUACUCAAUUAGAUGGUAAGAACUAUGCCUAUUGGAGUUAUGUCAUGAAGAAUUUUCUUCGUGGGAAGAAUAUGUGGGGUUAUAUCACUGGAGUAAAACCAAGACCUAUCGAUGAUAAAACUGAAAAUUUUGAUUUGUUGGUGGACUUAUGGGAAACUAAUAACUCCAAGAUUAUCACUUGGAUCAACAAUUCUGUAACUCAGUCAAUUGGUAUGCAAUUGGCUAAGUAUGACACAGCAAAGGAGGUCUGGGAUCAUUUGGAAAGACUGUACACUCAGUCUAAUUUUGCUAAGCAGUACCAGUUGGAGUAUGAUAUCCGUGCUCUUCAACAGCAUGAUCUCAGUAUUCAAGAUUUUUAUGCUGCCAUGUCGGAUUUGUGGGAUCAAUUGGCACUUACUGAAUCUGCAGAGUUAAAAGGUUUUGGGCCGUACAUUGCUAGACGGGAAGAGCAACGCUUGGUUCAGUUUUUGAUGGCACUACGUUCUGACUUUGAGGGCCUACGUGGAACAAUCCUUCAUCGAUCUCCCCUCCCUACUGUUGAUUCUGUGGUUCAUGAACUGAUUGCAGAGGAGACUCGUAUCAAGUCUCAAGUGGAUAAAGGGUCUAAAGUAACUACUACUCCUGUCGUGUUUGCUGCUUCAACUGAUCAGUCUAGGCCACCACGUACUCAGACUCGACAAUCUCCUAAAGUUGCAUUUGAUGAGUGUGCAUUCUGCAAACAGAAAAAUCAUUGGAAGGCUCAGUGUCCGUUGUUACUUAACAAGGUCAAACAGCCUCAAUCUGGGCAGCAACAGAAAUAUGGGCAGCAAAAGUCUCCGUCACGCUCCUCUGGUGCUCCUCCAUGGUCAUCUCGUCCUCCACAGUUCGCUGCUGCUGCACCAUCUGUAGAUGUUGAGUCUGUUAGCACUAUGCCACCUUCUGCGUUGGAUCCCCAGGUUUUCGAACAGUUCAGACAGUUCUUCGUUUCUAAUCCUACGGCCAUGUCAGCAUCUAUGUCUCAUUCGGGUUCAGUUUCUUCUAGUACCUCAGGUAUUCCUUCCUCCUUGUGGAUAUUGGAUUCUGGUGCGUCUCAUCACAUGUCCCCUCAUUUGUCAUCGUUUGGUUCUUUGUCACCCAUUUCACCAAUCUCUGUUAUGUCCGCGAGUGCUGUACCUAUGUCAGUCGAGGGUGUUGGUUCUGUUACUACCCCUCACAUUGUCCUCUCUGAUGUUUAUUACAUUCCCAAACUUGCUUUAAAUCUUGUUUCGGUCAGUCAGUUGUGUAAGGCUGGUAAUUGGGUGUUUUUUUCUGAUUCUGUUUGUGUUAUACAGGACCAACACACUCAGAGGGUGAUUGGGACCGGCCGUAGGUUGGGGGAACUCUAUGUCUUGGAGAAUCUCAAAGUGUCUGUAGUUGCUGCCUCUAGCAUAGAUUUAUCUUCUUUUCGUUUGAGUCCUUUGUCUUCUCAGUUUUAUCUUUGGCAUUCCAGAUUAGGACAUGUGUCAGUUUCACGUUUACGUUUUUUGGUCUCUAGUGGUGCUUUGGGUCAUGUGAACACUAGUGAUAUUUCAGAUUGUAGUGGUUGUAAACUGGCAAAAUUUUCUGCCUUACCGUUUAAUAAAAGUGUGUCUUAUUCUGUUGCUCCUUUUGAUAUUAUUCAUUCUGAUGUAUGGGGACCAGCGCCAGUAUCCACUAAGGGUGGAUCGACCUAUUAUGUUUCGUUUAUAGAUGACUAUACUCGUUAUACCUGGGUGUAUCUUAUGAAACGCAGAUCUGAUUUCUUUGGCAUUUACAACAACUUUAGAGCCCUUGUUAAAACACAACAUUCGGCUGUGAUAAAGUGUUUCAGGUGUGACUUAGGGGGUGAAUAUACCUCUAAUGACUUCACUCAGUUACUUGCCUCUGAUGGUACCAUACACCAGUCAUCUUGUACCGACACUCCUGAGCAGAACGGUCUGGCAGAAAGAAAACAUCGUCAUAUUGUUGAGACAGCACGCUCUUUACUUUUGUCUGCAGAGGUUCCUAGUAUUUUUUGGGGAGAAGCAGUUCUAACUGCUGUAUAUGUGAUUAAUCGUAUUCCUACUGCAUUGACUUCAGGGAUGUCUCCGUUUGAGAAACUAUAUGGUCACCCGCCGAAUUAUUCUGCAUUACGAGUUUUUGGAUGUACUUGCUUUGUUCUUCGUCCUCAUGUUGAACGAAAUAAGUUAGGGUCAAAAUCAGCUAUAUGUGUGUUUUUGGGGUAUGGUAUUGGACAAAAAGGAUAUCGUUGCUAUGAUCCUGUAAGUCAGAAAUUAUAUGUUUCACGACAUGUCACUUUUUUGGAACAUAUUCCUUUUUAUUCCAUUCCAGCUAAAACCCAUGAUGUGACAAAGUCAGAUAUUCGGCUUAUUGAUCCCUUUGGGAUUGACAUAGAGGUUCCAGUUCCGGAUUCAUCCAUGCCAUCUGGUGUGCCACCUGAUAGUGCUUCAGCCUCGCCUGUGCCUGAGUCUGCUCCUUCGACUGUUGAGACUGGAGACCCACCACCUCUGAGGAGGUCUACUCGACCUUGUAAGUCCACCAAACUGCCAGAUUUUUACUAUUCUACAUAUUCAGCCUCAUUUGCUUCCUUUAUUGCAAACAUACAUCAUUUGUCUGAACCUGAGUCGUAUAGAGAGGCUGUGUCUGAUCCUCUUUGGCAGAAUGCUAUGGCUGAGGAACUUGCUGCUCUUCAUCAUACACAUACAUGGGAUUUGGUUACUCUCCCACCUGGUAAGCAUGCGAUUGGUUGUCGAUGGGUGUAUAAGAUAAAAACAAAAUCUGAUGGGUCUGUUGAGCGAUACAAGGCAAGACUUGUGGCAAAAGGGUAUUCACAACAAUAUGGUAUGGAUUAUGAGGAGACUUUUUCCCCCGUAGCAAAGAUGACGACUGUUCGCACUAUGAUUGCUGUUGCAUCCGUUCGACAGUGGAAGAUAUUUCAGAUGGAUGUCAAGAAUGCUUUUCUGAAUGGUGAUCUCCACGCGGAAGUUUAUAUGACUCCUCCCCCAGGUAUUGACCACCAGCCAGGUGAAGUUUGUCGGCUUCGAAAAGCUUUAUAUGGUCUCAAACAAGCCCCUCGUGCUUGGUUUGAGAAAUUCUCCACUGUUAUUACUUCCCUUGGAUUUGUCCCGAGUAACCAUGAUUCAGCAUUGUUUGUUAGAUGUACAAGUGCAGGGCGAAUUCUAUUGUCCUUAUAUGUAGAUGAUAUGAUUAUUACUGGUGAUGAUCAUAGUGGUAUUGAGUUAUUGAAGCAUGAUUUGGCUCAUCGAUUUGCAAUGAAGGACUUGGGCUUGCUGCGUUAUUUUCUGGGUAUUGAGGUGGCUCAGUCUAAGAAAGGGUAUCUUCUUUCUCAGACUAAGUAUAUAUCUGACUUGUUUACACGGGCGCGUCUUUCUGACAACAGGACUGUAGAUACUCCCCUUGAAACCAAUGCACGUUACUCUCCUAGUGAUGGUGUUCCAUUAUCAGAUCCGAGUCUUUAUCGGACUAUUGUGGGUAGUUUGGUUUAUCUUACGGUUACUCGUCCAGAUAUAGCACAUGCAGUUCAUGUUGUUAGCCAGUUUGUUACUGCUCCUACUUCUGUGCACUGGGGAGCUGUACUUCGUAUUCUAAGGUAUCUUCGUGGCACUCAGUUUCAGAAUCUCUUGUUUCCCUCGACGUCAUCUCUCGAGUUGCGAGCCUAUAGUGAUGCUGAUUGGGAUGGAGAUCGCAAUGAUCGUAAAUCCACCACUGGUUUUUGUGUGUUUCUUGGAGACUCUUUAAUCUCGUGGAAGAGCAAGAAACAAGAUGUUGUCUCUAGAUCUUCCACGGAGGCUGAGUAUCGUGCUAUGGCUGUGACUACAUGUGAGAUUAUUUGGUUACGUUGGCUUCUUGCAGAUAUGGGGGUUCACAUUUCUAUGCCUACUCCCCUGCAUUGUGAUAACAAAAGUGCGGUACAAAUUGCAAAGAAUUCUGUCUUCCAUGAGCGUACGAAGCACAUUGAGAUUGAUUGUCACUUCACCCGUCAUCAUUUACAGCUCGGGACCAUAUCGCUUCCUUUUGUUCCAUCGUCUUUGCAGAUUGCUGACCUUUUUACGAAGGCUCAGUCGGCGUCUCGAUUUCGUUUUUUGUGUGACAAACUCUCAAUGCUUAUUGCUGUUGCAUUGUGAGUUUGAGGGGGGAUGUUAGCCCAUAUGUUAUUGGGCCUUUAGUUUAUGGACCUUUAGGUUAUUGGCUAUGUAUAUAUAGCCUACUUUUGUUUAGUUAGUUUCAGGCUUUUCAGAUUAUAUUGUAAACCUUAGCCUUUCUUCCCUUCAAUAAAGUUCUAUUAACACCUAUAUAGUCCGGUAAUUUGUUCUUUCGUAUAUCCAAAUUCAAUAUUCCAUUUAUGUAUCCAUGGAAUAGAGAAUUCAAUGAAGAAAUACAUCUGAUCGAUCUUAUCUAAAUUACAUACAUGAUCAGAAUGAUAUAAUUCUGUCAGGAAAGGUGAAACUUUAAUCCAUUCUUUAUAUAUGAGGGGGGAUGUUAGCCCAUAUGUUAUUGGGCCUUUAGUUUAUGGACCUUUAGGUUAUUGGCUAUGUAUAUAUAGCCUACUCUUGUUUUAGUUAGUUUCAAGCUUUUCAGAUUAUAUUGUAAACCUUAGCCUUUCUUCCCUUCAAUAAAGUUCUAUUAACAGUUGCAACUGUAUUUUCACCUGAAUAGUAGUAUGCGUUAAAGUGUUGUUGUCAUGACCUAUUGGUAGUGAUAUUGGACCAAGAAGUUGGGGAUGUGAAGUCACAAAGUUAGAAGUCAGAGUGAGGAUGACUUUUGUGUAAAUGAAUAUUUUAGUUGAAUAACCGAUGUUCGAGAAUGAUUUACCCCCUUUAUGGUGAUAGACUAAUGUGGUAGCUAGUAGCAUGUGUGGAUUGUAUGGUAGUCUGUGGGGGAAGUGUUUGACUCAGAUUUUUAUUUAUACAGAGUAAGAUGUGUAUCCUUAGAUCAUUGAAUAUUGUGUGUCAAUUUUCUAUCUCUUGUAAUAUGUAAUCUUAUUAUCAUGGUGUUUUUGAAAAAAAUCAAAGUCUAGUGAAGCCGUGUGGGGCUCUUUUGAUUCACUAGCAUAGUUUUUUUGUUAUGCAUUUCAUUUCUUGUUCAAAACACAAAAAUCAAAGUCUAGUGAAGCCGUGUGAGGCCUAUUUCUAUUCACUAGCAGCUUGCUAUCCAACUUGUUGUUCUUGUGUUGGUUUAAUAUAUGUAUAGCUGAAUCUGUUUGCAUGAAAUUGAGUAAGUAAUUAGGAGGUGAGAGAUCAGUAUAAGUAGAUAAGAUUAUAUGGGAUUAUAAUAUCAGAUUAAGGUUAACCAUGCCUAUUAUGUGAAUUUACCCCCCCUUGACCUUCUUUUGUUGGUAGUUGUAAACUAGUACUACUUGUGAGAAGAUAUGUAGUAGAUAUGUGAGGUAUUUGGAUAGAAUGUUCAGAUUUGAUGGACUAGUAUUAUGUUGCCUUCUUCAUUGAUGGUAGAUGAUUGAUGCUAGACUAUUGGCUUGAAUUUAAUGUAGAAUGUGGAUGUCGGAAUAGUGAAAUGAGAUUGAUAGUGUUGGGCUCUUUUAUAUGAUCUUGAUUCUCAUAGUAAUGAGAUAUAAGUUCGGAGUCGCGAUAUUGGUAGGCUAUGAUGAAAGUGGUAUGGUUCAUCAAAGGCUCGGUGAUAUCCAUGUUAAGUGUUAGAAAUCUAAGUUUGAGCUUUAAAGGUUGAACCGAUAGAAAUAAGUGUGCAAGCAUCAUACUAUGACUAUUGGGGCUAUCGAAAUAUAGAGUGUAUCUCAGAAGGUAGUAUUAGCAGUGGGAUUUCCACUUUCAUGUGUGGUCUUUCGGGUUAAAUUUCUAUUUAAUUAUGUGUAUUGUUGUAUUCCAUACCCCAGAGUGUGGUGAGUGUAGUUCGGCUUAGAGUCUAGUAUAAGGGAUCUCUUGAACUUAAUAUGAUGGCUUAAAGCCAAGGGGGAGAUGAUANNNNNNNNNNNNNNNNNNNNNNNNNNNNNNNNNNNNNNNNNNNNNNNNNNNNNNNNNNNNNNNNNNNNNNNNNNNNNNNNNNNNNNNNNNNNNNNNNNNNNNNNNNNNNNNNNNNNNNNNNNNNNNNNNNNNNNNNNNNNNNNNNNNNNNNNNNNNNNNNNNNNNNNNNNNNNNNNNNNNNNNNNNNNNNNNNNNNNNNNNNNNNNNNNNNNNNNNNNNNNNNNNNNNNNNNNNNNNNNNNNNNNNNNNNNNNNNNNNNNNNNNNNNNNNNNNNNNNNNNNNNNNNNNNNNNNNNNNNNNNNNNNNNNNNNNNNNNNNNNNNNNNNNNNNNNNNNNNNNNNNNNNNNNNNNNNNNNNNNNNNNNNNNNNNNNNNNNNNNNNNNNNNNNNNNNNNNNNNNNNNNNNNNNNNNNNNNNNNNNNNNNNNNNNNNNNNNNNNNNNNNNNNNNNNNNNNNNNNNNNNNNNNNNNNNNNNNNNNNNNNNNNNNNNNNNNNNNNNNNNNNNNNNNNNNNNNNNNNNNNNNNNNNNNNNNNNNNNNNNNNNNNNNNNNNNNNNNNNNNNNNNNNNNNNNNNNNNNNNNNNNNNNNNNNNNNNNNNNNNNNNNNNNNNNNNNNNNNNNNNNNNNNNNNNNNNNNNNNNNNNNNNNNNNNNNNNNNNNNNNNNNNNNNNNNNNNNNNNNNNNNNNNNNNNNNNNNNNNNNNNNNNNNNNNNNNNNNNNNNNNNNNNNNNNNNNNNNNNNNNNNNNNNNNNNNNNNNNNNNNNNNNNNNNNNNNNNNNNNNNNNNNNNNNNNNNNNNNNNNNNNNNNNNNNNNNNNNNNNNNNNNNNNNNNNNNNNNNNNNNNNNNNNNNNNNNNNNNNNNNNNNNNNNNNNNNNNNNNNNNNNNNNNNNNNNNNNNNNNNNNNNNNNNNNNNNNNNNNNNNNNNNNNNNNNNNNNNNNNNNNNNNNNNNNNNNNNNNNNNCUAAGCUUGAAAGUAAGAAGUUGUAUUGCCAAAGGUCUGGUAAUUCUAUCCUAAUUUAGGAGUUAUAUGUCUAUAUUCCAGACUGUAGAGUAGUGUCAAUGUUGUGAUUUCCUCAGUGGGAUGUCUUGUGUAAUCCAUACCCAAGAUUUGUGGCUCCCUAUUACUGUUAGAACUUCUUUAGAGAGAGCGUUGAAGAGAUACUCCAGUUAAGUAUGAGGGUCAAGCAUAAUUCAGUCUGUAUAGCCAGUAAGUCAGUUUAGCAGUCAGAUUUGCAUGACUUGUUUUCUCGUCUUUUCAUUUAUUCAUGCUACCCGAAAUCUCAGACAUGAUAUUAUUCCAAGAUAGAGUAUACUAGUAAUUGCGAGUAUAGCUCAGUUCAUGCUUCAUGCAUUAGAUUCAAAAUCCAAAGGUUCAGUUAUGAAUCAAAUCGUAGGUGCCUUGUGCAUUGCCUCCAUUUUCCGAGUAUCUUAGUGAAUUGAGAACUCAUAGAGGGAUAUAGGGUCCCAAGGGGGAGAUACCCCAUUCGGUUGCAUGCAUAGGUUCUUAUUACAAGCUUCGCAUCAGUUGUUAUUGCGUAUUCAGUCAUACGUUCUUGUGUCAGUUCAGUCAGAUAUGCCUGCAUUAGAAAUGCAUGUUCAAUAGAAAAAGUUCAGCUUAUCAGUGUAUUCAGUCCUGCGUUAAUGAGGAAAACUCAGACACAGACCCAUGCAUCAGAUAUGCAUGUUCGGUAUAAGAAUUCAGAACAUCAGUAGUUCCAGUCUUAUAGUCAUGUUUCAGAUCAGUGUAUUCUUUAUUAAAGGACAUGUCAUGUCGGCGUUAUUCCAUAGCUUUAAGGCUUCAACAAGUUCCUAUCCAUCAUUCGAGGAUGAAUGAUCCCAAGGGGGAGAUAAUGUAACGCCCCGUAAAAGGCAUGCAUAUAUUAGUCUUUAAUAUUGAGCUCUUAGACUUAAUGACUUAAAAUUUUCUAAGUGUAAAAUGAGACUUAGUCAUUUUAGCUGGCAAUCUUUGGGAUACAACUUUUCAACAUUCCUGACAUCCGUUUUUAGAUUUUCAAGUUGUGUUACGAUCGGUAAAGAUCAUAGUGCAUCUCGGAUAAGUUUUGUAAUUUUUUGGAAUGCAUAAGGCUGCGUUUGGAUUUUAAAAUAGUAGCAAAACGCAUAGCCUAUUGCCCAGUUUUCAGCAUUUCAGGGUCAACUUCAAACAAUCAUAACUCCCUGUAUAAUGAACUGUGUGAGCUAUAAUAUAUCAAACGAAAGAUCUUUGAUUCCUAUUUCAAAUGCAGUUGGUUUCAUCCAAACUUAUUAUAUGAGUAAAACGUUAUAAUCGAUUUACUCCGGACUGUCAAACCGUCAACUGAGGGACAGAUUUGACCUUAAUUGUUCCUUAGGGGUAUUUUGGUCAUCCUUCACCCUUAUAUAUACCACCAACAUGGGAUUUAAUCCCUCAAACACCAAAAUACACCUUCAUUCAUCAAAAUUGCUCAAGAACACUCCUUAGGGUUUCAAACUAAAAACCCAAAUAGUUCAAGAUUUGACCGUAGGUUUUCGAAGAUAAUUACANNNNNNNNNNNNNNNNNNNNNNNNNNNNNNNNNNNNNNNNNNNNNNNNNNNNNNNNNNNNNNNNNNNNNNNNNNNNNNNNNNNNNNNNNNNNNNNNNNNNNNNNNNNNNNNNNNNNNNNNNNNNNNNNNNNNNNNNNNNNNNNNNNNNNNNNNNNNNNNNNNNNNNNNNNNNNNNNNNNNNNNNNNNNNNNNNNNNNNNNNNNNNNNNNNNNNNNNNNNNNNNNNNNNNNNNNNNNNNNNNNNNNNNNNNNNNNNNNNNNNNNNNNNNNNNNNNNNNNNNNNNNNNNNNNNNNNNNNNNNNNNNNNNNNNNNNNNNNNNNNNNNNNNNNNNNNNNNNNNNNNNNNNNNNNNNNNNNNNNNNNNNNNNNNNNNNNNNNNNNNNNNNNNNNNNNNNNNNNNNNNNNNNNNNNNNNNNNNNNNNNNNNNNNNNNNNNNNNNNNNNNNNNNNNNNNNNNNNNNNNNNNNNNNNNNNNNNNNNNNNNNNNNNNNNNNNNNNNNNNNNNNNNNNNNNNNNNNNNNNNNNNNNNNNNNNNNNNNNNNNNNNNNNNNNNNNNNNNNNNNNNNNNNNNNNNNNNNNNNNNNNNNNNNNNNNNNNNNNNNNNNNNNNNNNNNNNNNNNNNNNNNNNNNNNNNNNNNNNNNNNNNNNNNNNNNNNNNNNNNNNNNNNNNNNNNNNNNNNNNNNNNNNNNNNNNNNNNNNNNNNNNNNNNNNNNNNNNNNNNNNNNNNNNNNNNNNNNNNNNUGGGUCGAGACACCAUGCUUUGUGGUCUUAUGUGUCUCUCCCUCACUUAUACUCUAAUCUCGGCAGCAACCGAGGUUUGGAAGUUAGUGUAAAUUAUGUAGGGUAUUCCACCUAACUCAGUUGCAUUUCAUUGUUGUUGAGAAACUAUUGUAUUAUACUCAUGUGUUUUCAAAUGAUUUAAUAUGAAAUUGUUUUAUAAUGGCUCUCAACUAUAUUUUGUAAAAAUAUUAUGUUUUGUUUUGAUAUCUCUAUGUGCCAGUACUUUUGUGCUGACCCCAUCCCCUGUCCAACCUCUCAAGUUCAGAGGCCCAAUCUAGGGGUCAAGAGAAUCAGUAGAUCAUUCAGACAGAGUUGCAGAGACAAGUGGUGAGCCUUCUAUGUUUCGGAAGGUCUUAUGUCCUGCAGUCCUGUUAUCUUAUAUUUAGUUUUGGGGUCUACUGGAGCCUUGUCCCAGUUUAUACACAGCUACUUGACUCAUUCAUUUGUUAGAGAUUUUCGUAGACAGUUGUUUAGAGGUUGAUUGAUGUUGGGGGAACUUUAUUUCCCCGUUAUUGUUUCUUUUCAUAUUUAUGACCAUGUUUUCGAAUUAUUGUGUUUCUUGUGCAUUACUUUGAUCAUAUGAAUUAGGUGCAUGAUUACCAGACAGAUAGAGGUGUUUCGGGCCUCCAUGGUUCAAAAUGCUCGUCACGUCCAGGCCCUGGUUCGGGUCAUGAUAGCAAGGGUUGGAGUUCGUGAAUCUGAUAUGCCACACGACACUUAAGUCAGCGUCUAAUGAUAUACCCGGGUCAGCAAACCAUGGUUUUAGGAAAUGAGUUGCUUGAACUCAAGCCUUCUUCAGGGAACCACCUAACAUCUCUGUAUGCCCAUUUUUAACCUUUUUUGUAAUGCAACAGUCUGUCUAAAAUCAUGAUAGUCUGAAAUGUCUAUUAGUCUGAGUCUGAUAUGACAUUGGUCUGAAUUGGUAUCGUCAUACCAAGACUUGCAAGUCAUGAUUUCUGAGCCAUAAUACAUUAAGCUAAAUCUUUCAUUUAAAGCAUAAUUUAGACCACCAAAAACAUGCAACUGAUAUAGAAGAUUUNNNNNNNNNNNNNNNNNNNNNNNNNNNNNNNNNNNNNNNNNNNNNNNNNNNNNNNNNNNNNNNNNNNNNNNNNNNNNNNNNNNNNNNNNNNNNNNNNNNNNNNNNNNNNNNNNNNNNNNNNNNNNNNNNNNNNNNNNNNNNNNNNNNNNNNNNNNNNNNNNNNNNNNNNNNNNNNNNNNNNNNNNNNNNNNNNNNNNNNNNNNNNNNNNNNNNNNNNNNNNNNNNNNNNNNNNNNNNNNNNNNNNNNNNNNNNNNNNNNNNNNNNNNNNNNNNNNNNNNNNNNNNNNNNNNNNNNNNNNNNNNNNNNNNNNNNNNNNNNNNNNNNNNNNNNNNNNNNNNNNNNNNNNNNNNNNNNNNNNNNNNNNNNNNNNNNNNNNNNNNNNNNNNNNNNNNNNNNNNNNNNNNNNNNNNNNNNNNNNNNNNNNNNNNNNNNNNNNNNNNNNNNNNNNNNNNNNNNNNNNNNNNNNNNNNNNNNNNNNNNGACUGAAUUUCGUGUUUAUGGCUGAAUAAGGGUGAGAAAAGAACCAUUUUGCCCAAAAAACGGAGUGUUUAAGUCACUUAAAACAUAAGAUAUGCGCCGUAUAUGAUAUCGUAUAUAUUUACAUAGGCGCCGCAUAUGAUAUCGCCUAUAUUUACAUAGGCGCCGCAUAUGAUAUCGUCUAUAUUUACAUAGGCGCCGCAUAUGCUUUCCAGUGGCCAUGUGUGAUUGGUUAGGCGACGCAUACUACUUUGAAAGGCCAUAACUUCUUGCUCGGGUGUCGGAUUUUAGCAAAAUUGGUAUCGUUGGAAAGUUAACUCGAAGACCUAUCAUUUGACACACAGUAGGCUCUCUAAUUCGACAUAUAUAGAGAGUUAUGGUCAAUGGAAACUGACUCAAAUUACAACGUCCACUAAAACUUAAUCGAUCGAAAUAGUUUUGAAAUCAUCCUUGAGUUGAAGGACCUCUAUGGUCUAAAUUCAUGCUCAAAUGGAUUCACAUACUACAUAAACAUGCCAAAUUGCCAUAGGAUUUAAGGCUCUGGGAUUAUCAACGCAUCAAAGUCAUGGUUUUUAUUCUAGCCCGAAAUGCGGGGUGUUGCACAACUUCACAGGGGUCCUGAACUCAAUUUAAGUGUAUUUUUGUCACCCUUUUGUGCUGACGUAACACCUUUAUUACAUAAAAUUGGGGUCAAUUCAAAGCUGUCAUAUCAGAUAAAAAGGUUGAUAAAAGGUGUCACGUCAGCUAAAAAGAUUGACAAAAAUACGCUAAAAUUUAGUUCAAGGGGUAAUAGAACACCUAUGAAGUUAGAGUGUGUCGUAGCAAAUUCGGUCAUAGUUCAUGAAACCUAUAUUUUGUAAGGCUAUACGUUUUUAGCAUAAACAUAUCUACCAUUGUUUUCUAUGAAGUAGAAAACCUUAUACUCCUAGUCAAGAGUUUAUGUUAUGUCGAAAAUAAUUUUUACGCUAUCAAGUUAUAUUGACAUGCACUAACAGUUAAUUGUCCUCGUCAACAACAAUAUAUUAAAUUUACGACAGCAAUGUUAGAACAUACAUGGGUGGAUUCACAACGUUGGUUUUAUGGAUUCACCAUUUGAAUCUAAUGGAUAAAUAUUUUGACUUGAGAACCCAUUAAUUUAAGUUAUGUACAAAGGAAUUUACUACCGGAAACCAAACACUGUAUCAGUUAUGCAGAGAUUAUAUAAUCAUUAACAGAUAAAAGGCAUGUAAAUUGCGAGCACAGUAUUCUCAACAUGAACAUGUAUAUAUGUGUGAGUCUCUUUGUGUUGCUGAUAAAGAUGGACUAUAUGUGUUAUUCUCAACGGAAGCUUUAUGCACCGAGCUGCCUUUUUCCUUGUGUGUGUGUGUUAUAUAGAGAGCGAGAGGAAGAGAGAAAAUCCACUAACUAUCAACAAAUAUAAUAUUUUAAAUCCAUAAUUUCUAAAGUACAAUAAGUACAGCUUCAAGAAUUUCGAAGGUUGAAUCUUUCAAGUUUAAGUCCUGCAGAUGACUGUCUAUAUCUGUGUCUGGAACUUCGGAUAGCAUGUAUCCUGGAAAUUUCAUUGCAUCUUUUAAGGCAUAUUUCUUAUCACAUUUAGUUGGUUUAUCGUAGUAUUCUGUUGUAGUUAUUGUUCCUUUAAUUUGGUGCACCGGGCUGCUUUGAAUUGUUUUUCCUUGCGCUGAAGGUCUUAUCAAAAUUCGGAAAUUCUCCCCAAACUCCACUUGCUGUUGCUGUACCAUGAAUUAUUUAGUGAAGAUACAUUGGGUCUAUAGCAUUGUCGGUGCCGAAAAAAUGAUCUUACAUAAAUUGUUAUAUCAUGUGAUAAAGGAUGUAUUGGUAAAAUAACAUGUAAUUCUUCGGUCAUUCAAGGUAUUCGGUAAAAACUGAAAUAAGUAGUUGAAUUAUACAUUUGGAAGAAAUAUCAAAUUCUUCUUAAACUCAUCAUCAUAUAUAUUUGGAGCAAUAAGUACAAGUAGUAGCUCGCAUUCAUGCCUCCCUACUCGCUUAUAUUCUUCAUCUUACUCUCAUCAUAUUUUUCUCCAAGUAUAAAUAAAAGCCAAGAAGUACAAUAAAAUAGAGAGGCAACCUAUGAAACAGACAGUAACGGCAAGACCAAGUGAAUGUGAUAAAGUAGCAAACAUACCAGUUGCGAAUGCAAUUACAACUGCUAACAUUGACAAGCACAGGCAAACAACUGAGAGAUGAUAAAGCUUCUCUAAAGUUUUCGUACCUUCAGGAUCUAUACUUACAUCUGCCAUGAGGAAGUAGAUGAAUAUGGCAACAGCUGAGCAUGUGAAGGCAAUGGCAUCGGAAACAACAAAUGCACGAAAUGCUGUUUUCCUUGUUAGAAUCGCCAUCCCUUGAUUAUGGCUAUCGGAGUCACUCACAAAACCUCCUGGCAAUGUGAUGCCAGCGGCGAAAGUGACUGUCAUUAAUAAAGUCGCCACGACAAUAUGGAAUUGAGCUGACUUCAUAAUACUUUUGAUUACUGUUUGAUAUGCCUUUUUAGCUUUAUCGUGAUCAUCUUCCCUCAGUUGCAUUUUGCCUACUGUUCCCGUUUCAGCAUUUGGAUUGGGCAUGUACUCUUCCUUCCGCUUUACCUCAAAGUCACGUUUUCCAAAUCGGCCAAUGCUACACAAUUCCUCCAUCAAUUUCUCCUAUUUUCAUCAAUAGGACAGUUUAUAGUGAGUCGGUCGAAAAAUUUAACUGAGAACUAAUCUGUUCAUAGCUUAGGAGGCAAUGAUAUCAUCUAAAAUAAAUUACAGUUUUACUUGACCACAUCAAGAAUGGUCAGAAAGAUAAGUUGGAUCUAUAAAAGCAUUGUUAUUAAAAGUUAAAAGAGUAUUCCAUAGCAAUGCAACCAGUAUUUGAAAAACAAAUGUGUGACUGACUGCUUACCUUCUUUGUCGCUGCUUUGCAUGACAAUGCUAUAUCAAGUGGAGUCUGGUUUUGUUUGUUAAAUGGCAUCUUCUUUGCUCUAGGAUGGUUUAAUAAUUCAGGCACAUAGUUACCAGAGGCAGCAAGCAAAUGGAGAGGAGUGUUGCCGUCACUAUCUGGCUCAUCAACAAGGCUGUCGCACUUAUCAGAGUCUAAUAAGAAGUGGACUACCUCGUGUUGAUUGUUCAGUACGGCAACAUGAAGAGCAUUUUGAUUGUUUCUGUUAAGCAUAUCCCAAAAAUCAGGGCAGUGAUUUAAUAGCUCAAUGAUCAUGUCUACAUCACCUUCACUGGCUGCAAUGUGAAUUGCUGUCGUCCAGUCAUUUUCAUUGCCUGCCGGAAGGUACACUAAGGAUUUUUUCCACGCCAGCAUAUCAGAUACUACGUCCGCCAAUCCUAAUUUAACAGCAUAGUGCAGUGAAUUCCAACCCCAUAAGUCAGGUUCCUCGCAUAAAGGCUUAUUCCAACGCCAGAGUGAUCUAAUGCAAUCUGGAUGUGUCAACACGAUAAAUGCGUAAUAAGGGGUUAGAUCAUCUCGCAAAUAUAGUUGCACAACAGACAUUACGAAAUCAUCAACAGAAAUCACAGAUAAAUGUUUUUUAGAGCGGUCGCAUAACAAGUGAUCGGAAUGCUACAUAAGUUGAUUAUAAGUUGAUGCGGCUAAUGGAGGAUCCUAUUGAAACUAUCGACAUGAUUAAUACGAAUUUACGCAGACGAUGUUAAUUAUGGGAAAUUUGAAUUGAGACGAUGCACGAUACUGCAAAUUACAAAAGGUUUGUACCUUUAUGUUCCUGAAUUACUGCUGCAUGCAGCGGCGUUCUAUUAGAUGGACCUGCAGCAUAAGUUGAUUUCUUGCAGUACUCCAAGAUAUUAAUCAAAGCAUCAUGAAAACCAGAUUCAGCCGCCAGAUACAGUGGCGUCUCCUGUGCAUGGUUAGGCGGAAAUUCAAAUUCAGGAUCUUCUUUCACCAAGAGCUUAACUACAUCUAGAUGUUGGCUCCUCACGGACUUGUGCAGGGCUGUAUCUCCGCUAGCAUCCGUCAUCCUCGUGAGUUUCUCCUUAGUAUUAUGAUCUUCGACACAUGCAAGUAGCAUACGUACUACUUCAGUGUGCCCUUCAUUAGCUGCUAGGUGAAGAGCUGUUUCAUUUUUCUUGUUUUGACAGCAUAACAUUGCCGGAGUAAUCUUAAGGACUUCUUCCGCGAAAUGGGAGUGGCCAUAGAGGGCUGCGACAUGGAGGACCGUGUUUCCCUUUGGAGUGACUUGGUAGCCGUUUUCUUCAUCCCUUUUCAGAUGAUCAGCAAGUAGAAAAUUGGCAUCUCCGAUAUUGCCUUUCAUCACAGCAUUAUACAAGGUCGGAUCCAUUCCUUUUGAUUUGGUGUUUUAUCCAAAAUCUCCCAAUGAUAAUCCUGUGAGUCCUUUGCUUUCUCUGAUGAAACAUUAUUAUAUAUAUUCUUAAUGAAUCUCAAAGAAGAAAGGGAUCUGGUGCUUGCCUUGAUCACAAGAAAGGGAUUUUGAUGUUUUCGUAUUUUCGCUUUCAUUAUGGUUCUUUUCUCCUAAAAACAAACAAGUAGAGUAGUCACCGGAACAAAGAAAAUCUUGUAGCAACUCAAAUAAGCUAAAGAUGAAACUUACCAAAACAAUAAUGGCGCUCGUUAGCUCCAAUUGCCCCAUGAGACUGGCGAACGUUGCUCCUUUUCCCUUUACUCAACAUAUGCUCUUCGCGGAUCUACAACAUCCAAACUGAAAACCAGCACAUUCGCGAUAAAUUGAAUUUGAAUUCAUAAAUUGUAACGCCCCAUAAAAGGCGUGCAUAGAUAAGUCUUUAAUAUUGAGCUCUUAGACUUAAUGACUUAAAAUUUUCUAAGUGUAAAAUGAGACUUAGUCAUUUUAGCUAGCAAUCUUCGGGAUACAACUUUUCAACCUUUCCGACAUCCGUUUUUAGAUUUUCAAGUUGCGUUACGAUCGGGAAAGCUCAUAGUUCAUCUCGGAUAAGUUUCGGAAUUUUUCGGAACGCAUAAGGCUGCGUUUGGAUUUCAAAACAGUAGUAAAACACAUAGCCUAUUGCGCAGUUUUCAGCAUUUCAGGGUCAACUUCAAACAAUUAUAAAUCCCUGUAUAUAAUGAACUGUGUGAACUAUAAUAUAUCAAACCAAAUAUCUUUGAGUCCUCUUUCAAAUGCAGUGGGUUUCAUCCAAUUUGAUUAUAUGAGUAAGAAGUUAUAAUCGAUUUACUCCAGACUAUCAAACUAUCAAUUGAGGGACAGAUUUGACCUUAAUUGUUCCUUAGGGGUAUUUUGGUCAUCCUUCACCCCUAUAUAUACCACCAUCCCGGGAUUUAAUCCCUCAAACACCAAAAUACACCUUCAUUCAUCAAAAUUGCUCAAGAACACUCCUUAGGGUUUCAAAAUAAAAACCCAAAUAGUUCAAGAUUCAACCGUAGGUUUUCGAAGAUAAUUACAUAUUCGGAAUCACAAAUCCGCGAGCUUCAAGAAACAUCUAGUAUUUUCGGAAAUAGAGGUACGUGGGGUUAUCCUAAAAUCUCAUAGGUGUAGUUUUUAUGAACAUGCAUGCUUUUAAAUGGGGGUUUUCAAUCAAAUGCUAAUAACUUGCUUUCAAUAUGAUUUCUAAGUCAUUUUUCUUUAUGUCAUGNNNNNNNNNNNNNNNNNNNNNNNNNNNNNNNNNNNNNNNNNNNNNNNNNNNNNNNNNNNNNNNNNNNNNNNNNNNNNNNNNNNNNNNNNNNNNNNNNNNNNNNNNNNNNNNNNNNNCAUGAUAAUGCCUAGAUAUCUCAUAUCAUAUUGUGACCAACAAAAGAGAGCAUGAAUUUGAAAUAAUUAUUGUUCACCACUUGUAAAUGAUGAAGCACCUUGGUUUUUACAUGAUUAUGCAUAUGUGGAUAUGAUAUUGAUGACUUGCAAGUUGGGUAUGACAAUACCCUACAGAAUAUGAUACGUGUUUGAAUUAAAUGAAGUUUGAAUGCAUUGAUUUUACAUGAGAUAGGUGGAUGUCCGAAGAAGGCGUUUGAGUGUAAGGGCUCAUCGCUGGAAACCGUGUUUGCCGACACGGGAAUUUGGUACCAGGCUAAGUGAUCUUGUGUACUUGACUUUAUGUCAUUCCCAAAUUGGGACUAUAGGUAGGAGCCCGGGCUAAGUGAUCUUGGGCACUAACAUUGGGUCGAGACACCCUGCUUCGUGGUCUUGUGUGUCUCUCCCCUCUCCAACCUCUCAGGUUCAGAGGCCCAGUCUAGGGGUCAAGAGAAUCAGUAGAUCAUUCAGACAGAGUUGCAGAGACAAGUGGUGAGCCUUCUAUGUUUUAGAAGGUCUUAUGUCCUGCAGUCCUUUUAUCUUAUAUUUAGUUUUGGGGUCUACUGGGGGCCUUGUCCCAGUUUAUAUAUAAUUACUUGACUCAGUCAUUUGUUAGAGAUUUUCGCAAAAAGUUGUUUAGAGGUUGAUAGAUGUUGGGGAAACUUUAUUUCCCCAUUAUUGUUUCUUUUCAUAUUUAUGACCAUGUUUCUGAAUUAUUGUGUUUCUUCCGCAUUACUUUGAUCAUAUGAAUUAGGUGCAUGAUUACCAGACAGAUAGGGGUGUUGCGGGCCUCCAUGGUUUGUAAUGCUCGUCACGGCCAGGCCUGGUUCGGGUCGUGGCAUAAAUAGUGAAGAAGGGUCAAUAGAAGGAUACCAAGAAAAAUGCUCCGAAAAAGGUCUUUUACCAUUGUUGCAUAAACACAACAUAUUCCUCUAUAGAAGGCCCUAUGGAGUAAAGGGAAGUGCAUGAAUUCUUGGAAAAAGAGGGAGCGAGCCUAUAUAAAAUAGAAAAUUUCAUGAAUAGAUAGAGUCAACGGUACAACAGACAGCGCCGCCUAUGUGAAAUCUUUGCGGAGGGGUUCGUAUUAGCUAUACUGGCACUUAAACAACCCAUCCAAAACUGCAGGCAGUGAGUUUAGCAAGGAUAUUUUGAUGAGCGGUGUAAAGAAACAUAAUAGAAUUAAAGUUCCAAUCGUAUCGGAGAGGCAGUGGCAUAUUUGAUUUCAGAGAGGAAAUCUCCGAUCGCACAUCAUAUAGCUUACUCUAAAAUAAGGCAGCUUUAAUAAAUGAAAUUAAAACCAUGACCAUAUUAUACAAUAAGAGUUCAUAUUAAAUUUGAAACAAGAUGUUGAUGACAUAUCUAUCACUCAAGAACAUUAUACAAAAAGAUUGAAGAACUGCAAGCCAGUGAACAUGUCAAGGUUGUAACAUAGACGCGAGUCUCUGUGUAAGUUACGUAGGAAGUUUCAGAUCAUAAGGUCCAUUCUUUCACCAGAGCAACGUUACUUCUUACUAACACGCGAUAUUAUCUAUAGUAGCUUGCUUUCUCAUUCAUGGAACAUGGGAUUCUUUAGCUAAAGCAAUAGUACUUCUUAUUAACAUGUGAUAUUAUCUAUAGUAGCUUCUCUUGAAGCAUCUUUAUCAACCUCCAACGCCAAAUUGUAUGACUAACACAUAAGGCAGCUGAAACAUACUCGACUUUACGAGUUAAGAGAGGAACCAAAAAAAAAAAAAAAGAAAAAGAGAAAAACAUGAGAAUAUUAUCAUAGGUUGCUUCUUUUGUAAUUUCUCCAAAAGAAAAGAUUACAGUGUAAAGCAUCAUAGCUAUGCGUAGGUUCGGGGGAUGAGGGCCAGACCAUAGGGAUCUAUUGUACGUGGCCUUAUCCUGCAUUUUGACAAGAGUCUGCAUUAUAAAGCAUUGAAUUUGAAAUACGAAGAGAUUUUAGUAAAACUUGAUUUUGCUGCCAUGUGACCAGGAGGUCACCGGUUCAAGCCUUGGAAAAAGCCUUUGGCAGGAGUACAAGUUAAGGCUGCAUAAAAUACACCCUUUUGGUAGGGCCCUUCCCCGGACCUUACGCAUAGCGGGAGCUCUCGUGCACCGGGCUUAUAUAGUAAAAAAGUGUUUUUAUUGGAAAAAAGUGUCAUGACAAGAAGAUCUCAUAUAGUAAAAAGAUGUUUUGUUUGCUUCUGGUCAAAGCAAACAAUAAGUACCUUUCUUUUGAUCAAAGGCAAAGAUCUGUGUAGUGUUCAGAAUAAAGAAUUCACAAGAUUAAUUUAAUAUAGGAGAUUUUGGAUAAAUCCGCAAAGCAAAUAAAAGAAAAGAAAAUGGAUCCAACCUUGAACAAUGCCGCGGUGGAAGGUAAUAUCAGUAAUGGUGAUUUUGUACUUGCUGAAUAUCUGAAAAGGGAUGAAGAAAAUGUGUACCAAGUCACUCCACGGGCAACACAAUCUUACACAUGGCGGCACAUUAUGGCCGCUCCCAUUUCGCAUCAAAAGUCCUUAAGAUUACUCCGGCAUUGUUAUGCCAUCAGAACAAGAAGAAUGAGACUGCGCUUCACAUAGAAGCUAAUGAAGGUCGCAUCGAAGUAGUCCACUUGCUACUUAGUAUGGAGGAGCAUUAUAAGGAGACGCUAAUGACGAUGACAGAUGAGAAUGGAGAUACAGCCCUGCAAAAGUCCGUGCGAAGCUGACAUCAAGAUGUAGCCAGACUUUUGGUGAAAGAAGAUCCUGAAUUCGAAUUUCCAUCCAACAAGGCCCGGGAGACACCGCUGUAUCUGGAAACUGAGUCUGGUGUUCGUGAAGCUUUGAGUGAAAUCUUUAACUCAUGCAAGCAAUCAACUUCUUCUGCAGGUCCAUUAAAUCGAACACCUCUGCAUGCAGCAGUAAUUCAGGAACACACGGGUAUGUACAUAUUUUCUUGCCGUUACUCUUCACUGUAUCAACAUCUCUUUUUGAUUUUUGUUACUAUAUGUUGUUUCUUGUACUUCGACUAUUGUAUUAUUUUGUGGCAGUACUGUUUUGUUUUGGACUGUUUUCUCUUGAGCUGAGAGUCUACCGGUAAUAGCCUCUCUGCCUCUGAGGUAGUGGUAAGGUCGACGUACACUCUACCCAUCCCCAGACCAACUUAGAGACUACACUGGGGAGUCUAAAUUUGUGUUGAUUUAACUCCUUAUUAUCAUCAUAUUUGACACAUACAUCCAGAUUGCGCGAGAUUGCUAACGCAAUGGAAUAGAUCCAGAUUGCGCGAGAUUGUGUGAAGAACCUGACGUGGGGGGUUGGAAUUCGCUGCACUUUACUGCUCUUUUAGGAUUGAAAGAAGUAGUUUCCGAUAUGCUGGGUGGAAAAAAUCCUUAGCGUACCUUCCAGCAGCCAGUAUAUAGAACAUACCAACGUUGUGAAUCUAUAAAAACUAUUAGAACAUACAUGGGCAGAUUCACAACGUUGGUUUUAUAGAUUCAGCAUCUGAAUCUAAUAGUUUUUGCCAGAUCCUGUCUGUAUAUAAAUAUUUUGACUUGAGAAUCCAUAAAUUUUAAGUUAUGUACAAGGGAAUUUACUACCGGUAACCAAACACUGUAUCAGUUAUGCAGAAAUCAUUAACAGAUAAAAGGCAUGUAAAUUGUGAACAUAAUAUCCUCGACCUGAAUAUGUUAAUAUGUGUGAGUCUCUGUGUGUGUUGCUGAUAAAGUUGGAGUAACUGGUAAAGUUGUUGUCACAUGACCAGAAGGUCAUGGGUUCAAGGUAAAACUGCGUACAAUACACCUUUGUGGUGGGGCCCUUCCCCAGACCCUGCGCAUAGCGGAAGCUUUAAUACAACGGGCUACCUUUUUGUGUGUGUCUGUGUGUGUGUGUUAGAUAGAGAGGGAGAGGAAGUGAGAAAAGUCGCUAAUUAUCAACAAAUAUAAUAUUUUGAAUCCAUAAGUUCUAAAGUACAAUAAGUACAGUUUUAAGAAUUUCUAAGGUUUAAUCUUUCAAGUUUAAGUCCUACAGAUGACGGUCGUUAUCUAUGUCUGAAACUUCAGAUAGCAUGUAUCCUUGAAAUGAAGUACAAGAUGCGGCAAGCGAGUUCGAGAUGGUCUAGGCAUGUAAAGAGUAGAGGAGCCGAUGCCCCAUGUGGAGGUGCGAGAGAUUGGCUAUGAAUGGUUUCAAGAGAGGUAGAGUAGAUCGAAGAAGUAUGGGAAGAACUGAUUAGCCAAGACUUGAUGUAGUUUCAGCUAACUGAGGACAUGACCUAAGAUGAAUCCGGUCGAGUUGUCUCUCUUUUCCUUCCAUACUAGUUAGUUGUAGUAUUAUUUGUAGUUUCUCUUCCUUCAAUUUCUAUAAUUAUCUAUUACUCUUUUGUGCUUCGAUUAUCAUAGUAUUCUGUUGUAGUUACAUAUUGCUUUGUCGUGAUCUCUGUGACCUUGGAGUAAUUGGUAAAGUUGUUGUCAUGUGACCAGGAGGUCACGGGUUCAAGCUUUUGAAACAGCAUCCGGCGUACAAUACACCCUUAUGGUGGGGCCCUUCCCCAAACCCUGCACAUAGCGGGAACUUUAGUUCACUAGGCUGCCUUUUUUUCUUGUCAUUCUCUCUAUAGUAUUUUUCCAUGGCUUCUCCACUUCUAACAUUUCUUUUCUUAACUGCUUUGAAUUGUUUUUCCUUGCACUGAAGGUCUAUAAAAUUUUGGAAACCUCUUUACCUCCCAAUGUAGGAGUAAGAUCUGCAUAUACUCGAUCCUCCCCAAAUUGCACUUGUGGAAUUUCAUUGGGUAUAUUGUUGUCAUUGUACCAUGAAUUAUUUAGUGAAGGUGCAUUGGUUCAAUAGCAUUGUCCGUGACGAAAAAUGAUCUCCAGCGACCGCUUAUAAUUUAAAUAGAAGAAAACGAUCUUACAUAGAUUGUUAUAUCAUGUGAUAAAGGAUGUAUAACUAAAAAAGCAAGUAAUGAACUAGAAAUAUGUUGUUCAAUUAUAUAUUUGCAAGCAAUAAGUACAAAUAGUAGCUAGCAUUCAUGUCUCUCUGACGAUUUCCUUGCUAUAUAAAUAACAACCAAGAGGUACAAUAAAAUAGAGAGGCAACUUAUGGAACAGACAGUAAUGGCAAAACCAAGUGAAUGUGAUAAAGUAGCAAACAUACCAGUUGAGAAUGCAAUUACAACUGCUAACAUUGACAAGCACUGACAAAUUGCUGCGUUAUCAUAAAGCUUCUGUAUAAUUUUUUCAUUUUCAGGUUUUGGAACUACACUUGCCAUGAUGAAGUAGAUGAAUAUGGAAACAGCCGAGAAUGUGAAGGCAAUGGCAUCGGAAACAACAAAUGCACGAAAUGUUGUUUUCCUUAUUAGAAUCGCCAUCCCUUUAUUAGGGCUAUCUGGGUCGCUCUCAAAACCUCCUGGCAAUGUGAUACCAGCGGCGAAAGUGAUCGUCAUUAUCAAAGUGGCCACGACAAUAUGGAAUUGAGCUGACUUCAUAAUAAUUUCUAUUACUGUUUGAUCUUCCUUUAUAGCUUUAUCGUGAUCAUUUUCCCUCAGUUGCAUUUUGACUCCUGUUCCCGUUUCAUCAUUUGGAUUGAGCAUGUACUCGUACUUCCGCUUUACCUCAAAGUCACGUUUUCCAAAUUGGCCAAUGCUACACAAAUCCUUCACCAAUUUCUCCUAUUUUCAUCAAUAGUACAGUUUAUUUUGAGUCUGUCUAACUGAGAACUAAUAUGUUCAUAGCUUAGGAGACAAUGAUAUCAUCUAAAAUAAAUUCUGGCGAAGGUAGAGCAAGAAAUAGAAUUAAAGUUUUACUUGAUGUUUCAACAGCACAUAUCGUUCACACAAAUCGUUCUUUCGCUUGACAUAAUCCUUGAACUAGUAUAUCAAUAUUUCACCAGCAUAUACUCAAGCGCAACCAGUAUUUCAAAAACAAAUGUGCGGCCGCUUACCUUCUUUGUUGUCGCUUUGCAUGACAAUGCUAUAUCAAGUGGAGUCUGGUUUUCUUUGUUAAAUGUCAUCUUCUUUGCUCUAGGAUGGUUUAUUAAUUCACGCACAUGGUUACCAGAGGCAACAAGCAAAUGGAGAGGAAUGUUGUCGUCGCAGCCUAAUAAGAACCGGACUACCUUGUCUUGAUUGUUCAGUAUGGCAACAGAAGAGCAUUUUGACUGUUGCUGUUAAGCGUAUCCCAACAAUCGGGGCAGUGAUUUAAUAGCUUCUCUAUCAUGUUUACGUCACCUUCACUUGCUGCAAUGUGAAUUGCUGUCAUCCAGUCAUAUUCACUGCCUGCCGGAAGGUACACUAAGGAUUUUUUCCACGCCAGCAUAUCAGAUACUACGCCCGCCAAUCCUAAUUUAACAGCAUAGUGCAGUGAAUUCCAACACCAUAAGUCAGGUUCCUCCCAUAAAGGCUUAUUCCAUCGCCAUAGUGAUCUAAUGCAAUCUGGAUAUGUCAACAUGAUAAAAUGCAUAAAUAAGGGGUUAGAUCUUCUCACAAAUAUAGUUUCACAACAGACAUUACGAAAUCAUCAACAGAAAUUGCAGAUAAAUGUUUUUUCUAGAGCGGUUGCAUAAGAAGUGAUCUGAAUGCUACAUAAGUUGAUUAUAAGUUGAUGAGACUAAUGGAGGAUCCUAGUAAGACUAUCGACAUGAUUAAUCCAAAUUUAUGUAGACGAUGUUAAAUAUUGGAAAGUCAACUUUAGUUAGAUAUCGAUACCUCAAAUAACAAAAAUUAUGUACCUCUUAACAAAUGACUGUGAUAUCGUCAUGAAAAUGCCGCCUCACACCUCUAUCUAUCCUUCUCAGAUCUGCGUAUAUCAUUUCUCUUUUCUAACGCAGCUUCCUGUAGGGCAGCUUUUACGAGUUUUCUAGCAAUGCCCUGUACAAAUUUGGAAAUUUUAGUUUAGUAGAGAAAACAGCUGAUGCAGUCGGUCAAAUGCUAAUCGCUGUUUCUUGAAGUCAACAGCUCGUGUAGAAAACAAAACUACAUGCUCAAUUGCAUAAUGGAAUACGCAAAGAAUAAACUAACUAUACGUUGAUGUCUAGCGAAACACAUUACACGAGUAAAAACAUACAUCUGGAAACUGGACGCCCGUUAAAUCAAGAACCACAAAAAGGUAAAAACACUUUCCAGAUACUGCAAUACUUUAGAACUCAAAAAAUUCUCUAAAGGAAUUAUUGCAAUUAGAUCCCGAAAGUUAAACUAUCACGGUGACCGCCUCGCAAGAUUCAAUAUGAAUGAUACAGUCCCGUAAAUUUCAACAAUUACAAAAGAAUGCCUCACUCAUAGAUUACUUAUGUUUACAAAAUAUCGAGAAUUUAUAGUACUUUUGUUUGUAUUUGCAUGAGAUGUGUUUAAAUGCAAUAACAAAGUUGGUGAAGAUUCAUAUAGUCGACCCCAACUUGUUUGGGCUAGUUGUUGUUGUUGAUGUUUUAGAUAAAAGUAAGAGAGCAAAACAAAAGGAAAGGAUCGAGACGGGAAAGGUUUUUCCAAUUUGACCCUAGAUAGGAAGGUUUGGAGGUCGAGGAUUAGUGUUAAAGGGUAGUUGAUAGCCAUGUGUUGCGGUACUCGUAUGGGGAGAAGCAGUGAGCUACUCUCAUCUUCUCCGUAUUUAGUAGUUUACCAAGUAUUCGGAUACUAUAAAUGCCAUCUCUCGUUCACUCUUGUUAACAAAUGAGAAUGAUAUGACGACAAGAAAAAGUAUUAGAUUUGAUAACCAAGGAGAUUCUUCCUUAUCAAAGAGAAAUGAGGACAAUCUUACAUGAUGUUCGCAACUGCUGACAAUGUCCACGGCCUCUUGAUUGCUGAGAUGCUCCCAUAAGCCGUCUGAUGCAAAUAUGAGAAACUGAUCUUCUGGAACGAGCUUCUGUACAAUUAUUGAUGGCUCAGCGAGGAGAAUAGGCUUCUCGAAUGUUCCAGGAAAUCGAAACUUAGGCAGCAAAGGCUCUCUGUUAAACUCCGCUCUCUUCAAAUAUGCAUCACCAAUUGAUCUCGAAACCUGCAAAUUUAUUCGUACUUCAGUAUCACAACAUCGACUUGAUGUCACUGUUCAGACACCUUAGAUACGUCGCAAAGAUUUUAUGAAAUAUUAGAGCAAGUGUUAUCUUUUUCAAUUGCCUACCCCCAGUGAAGCUUAACUUGCCGCACAAUAAGUAUGAUAAUGUGGAACUAAAGUACCUGUAUAACUCCCUUCACACGCCAAACCUUGUGCUUUAAAACUACUACAUUUGGAUCAUCGGGGUGCAGUGAGCGCAGUUCCUCACGGACAGAUUCCAAACUUGCGUUGUGUUCAGAAGAUAAUUGAACUGCUUUGACCUCUUUCAGAGCCCUCUCCCGUUUUCCUAACACCGCACGAGAAUCUCCAGCAUUUGCAAUAUAUAACAUCCCACUGCAUAUAAUACCCACUAAGCAGCAUGAUCCGACCGAAGCAAUUUGAGGUCUAGUUUGCCAUUCCUUUCUCACCAGAGAAAGAAACUCUUCUUCAGUUGCCAAAUAUGCCUUGCGUAUAACAUCGGCUGACAUUACUUGAUCCUCCGAGGUGAAUUCUGCAUCAGAAAAAAGCUGUCGAGUGAGUAACAUAUGCAUCAGCAAUCUUUUUACCGUAUGCAAGAGGAGGAGCGUCUGCACAUUUCAAACGGUGAGAAAGAAUCAUCGAAGCUUUCUUUACUCGAGCAUUUACUUCUUGUGGGGCGGGAAGUGGGAAAGGAGGAAGCGAGGCUGAUCAAAUGCUAUUGUAUGGAUUAAGAAGCUCGAUCGGUAGAAAUUUUAAUGGGUUGUUUUGCUAGGUCUUAGUGAUGAGAUUUAUCAGCAGCGAAUAUCGUCUAGCUCUCUUUUAUGACUAUUUACUAUGGAUAUUUCAUGGACAUGGAACCUGUAUGAUCUGCAUUCGUUGAUCCUAACACGAUGGGCGUUUGUGUCUAAUCAACGUUAGAUAGACAUUGCCAGCUUCCUAACAUACUUAUCAGUCACAUCUUGCCACACCUCCUGAUUAUUACACUUGAAUGCAAAAAAGUUGUUAGCUUCACAGUUGUUAGCUUGCAUGUCGAGGCCAAAUAUUUGUAUUAUAAUUAUAUUUGAUGAAGUCUAUUUACCUUAAGUCUUUGCAUUUGAAUAUCUUAAUAUGAUGUAGAACUUCUAGGUGCGUUAUAUCUCUUAAAUGGAGUCUUUGUUGAGUCUUUAUAUUAGAAUAUCUGUCAAUUUUAUAUAUACUAGUAUUCGUACUCGCGCGUUGUGCGGAACAUUAAGAAAUUAUAAUAAUUGCUAAUAUUUACAUGACUUAUUUACGUAAUAACUUACUAGGAAAAUUGGUGAAGAUAUAAUUAAUAAAUAGACUAAUAAGAGAACGGGUUGAAGACAUUUACUUCUUAAGCCUCCAUAUUUAUGAAAAGAAAAGAACAUGAUAGUGUUACUAAUGUGUAACUCAAUCUACACAAUUAAUGCACCGGACUGCCCUUUCUUGUGUGUGUUAGAUAGAGAGGGAGAGGAAGAGUGAAAAGUCGCUAACUGUCAACGAAUAUAAUAUUUUGAAUCCAUAAUUUCUAAAGUACAAUAAGUACAGUUUUAAGAAUUUCCAAGGUUGAAUCUUUCAAGUUUAAGUCCUAAAGAUGACAGUCUAUAUCUAUGUCUGGAACUUCGGAUAACAUGUAUCCUGGCAAUGUCGUUGCAUCUUUUAAGGCACAUUUCUUAUCGCAUAAGCGAAAUUGUCUCAAAAGACCUAUAAACUCUCGGAAUUUAUGCAGACUUAGUGAAAGAUAGCACAUAACGGAAGAAAAAGAUGAUCGUAUAGGGGAUACCAUUUAGUUGGGAAUAUGUUAAGAUCGACAUGUUAAUAAGGCUACUCUUUAUAAUAUGGUGUUGGUAGUUGUUAAAGGCGCUUUACAAGAGGAAUUAACCUUUCCUAUAUGUAAUGCAUGUUUAGUAAUAGGUCUUUUAGAUGCAUGGAUUAUAAUUCAUGUUGUCCAGCCAAGAACUCACGUUCAGAAGAUAAAAGUUACGGAUAUGAGAAAGAUAAUAUGGAUAUGUGGGACUAAAAGAUAGGAUUAGAAAUGAAGAUAGUCCAGCAUGAGUGGCAUUGCUGCGACAAGUGAGACUGAGAUGGUCCAGGCAUGUAAAGAAGAGAUCAGGAGCCGAUGCCCCGGUAUGGAGGUGUGAGAGAUUGGCUCUGAAUGGUUUCAAGAGUGAUAGAGUAGACCAAAGAAGUAAUGGGGAGAGAUGAUUAGACAAGACAUGAUGUAGUUUCAGCUAACUAGGGACAUGACCUAAUACGGGAGGUUAUGGAGGACACGAAUUCGGUAGAGUUGUCUCUCUUUUCCUUCCAUACUAGUUAGUCGUAGUACUACUCUUGUAGUUUCUCUUCCUUUAGUUUCUAUAAUUAUCUAUUACUCUUUUGUGCUUCGAUUAUCAUAGUAUUCUAUUGUAGUUACUGUUCCUUUUUUUUUUUUUUUAAGAUUGCUUUGUCAUGCUUUCUAUGACCUUGGAGUAACUGGUAAAGUUGCUGUCAUGUGACGAGGAGGUCACGGGUUCAAGCCUUGGAAACAGCCUCCAACAAAACUACAACGUAAGGCUACAUACAAUACACCCUUCCCUGAACCUGAGCAUAGGGGGAGCUUUAGUGCACUGAAAACAAAACACUGUAUCAGUUAUGCAUAGAUUAUAUAAUCAUUAAUAGAUAAAGUUGUGUUGCUGCUGAUAAAGUUGGAGUAACUGGUAAAGUUAUUGUCAUGUGACCAGAAGGUCAUGGGUUCAAGCCUUGGAUCUAUAGCAUUGUCGGUGAUGAAAAAAUGAUCUCUCGUGACCACGUAUAAUUAGAAUAGAAGAAAAUGAUCCACAUAGAUUGUUAUAUCAUGUGAUAAAGGAUGUAUAAAUAAAAUAUAAUGUAAUGGACUAAAAAAAACCGUAUCUUUCAUAUGUAAUUCAAGGCAUUGGGUAAAAACUGAAAUAUGUAGUUGAAUUAUAUAUUUGCAAGCAAUAAGUACUAGUAGCUGGCAUUAUGUCUCUCUUAACUAUAAAUAUGAACCAAGAAGUAUAAUAAAAUAGAGAGGCAACCUAUGAAACAAACGGCAACGGCAAGACCAAGUGAAUGUGAUAAAGUAGCAAACAUAACAGUUGUGAAUGCAAUUACAACCGCUAACAUUGACAAGCACAUAAAAAUAAUUGCGCGAUUACAAAGCUUCAGUAUACGUUUUUUUUUUUAAAGUUGUGUACUUAUAUUUGCCAUGAUGAAGUAGAUGAAUAUGGGAAUAGCUGAGCAUGUGAAGGCAAUGGCAUCGAAAACAACAAAUGCACGAAAUGUUGUCUUCCUUGUUAGAAUCGCCAUCCCUUGAUUAGGGCUAUCGGGGUCGCUCUCGAAACCUCCUGGCAAUGUGAUGCCAGCAGCGAAAGUGACCAUCAUUAUCAAAGUGGACACAACAAUAUGGAUUUGAGCUAUCUUCAUAAUACUUUCGAUUUUUGUUUGAUAUGCCUUUUUAGCUUUAUCUUCAUCUUCUUCCGUCAGUCGUAUUUGGACUACUGUUCCCGUUUCACCAUUUGGAUUGUGCAUGUACUCGUACUUCCGCUUUACCUCAAAGUCACGUUUUCCAAGACUUAAGAAAACUGGGGUGAAUCAAAGCGAAGGUACACUCAAGAAGACAUAACUUAGACUAAAAUAAGGAUGUUCAAACAUAGAGACAGUGAAUCAAACCAUAAGUAGCAUGCAAAAUGAAACAAUGGGUAAAUAAUUAACCAACCAUAUUGAGGUUUGAACAAUAGAUUGCAAAACCGAGGGAAGCAAAACGAGGCAAAAAUCAUGGAUCAAAUGAUUAUAACAACAGUUAGCCUAACGUAGCAAGAAAUACUAAAUCAGAAAGGGAAACGGGACACGAAAGGCGAAAUCUUGAUGAUAUAUAUGUAGAUUCAUACCACAAACUCUCAGGUAACCAACAACGUCAAUUAAGAGAUAGUGUAUUCGACAUAAUCGCAUUGAGAAUUAUAACGUGAGCACUGCCUCAGAAAGAUGGCAUAAUAAUAAUCACAAAAGAACCCCUAAGGCCAUUAGGACCAUCUACAGCAGACAAAACCCAGCCUCAUUCAUGAUUAUUACUAAAUAAUUGAACUAAUUCUACGGAGAAAGGGGGAUGAAGCAGAAAACAAUGGAAUUACAAGGACGAGAGCGUUUACCUCCUUCGGGGCAGCAAAACGGGGCAACGAGCUAAUUGUCAGGAUGUCGACCACCGCCGGAGCUCUCUCAAAAGAAACCCCUCCAAUUAAUCAGCUAACUCUCAAAAGAAGAAAGAAACGAGAAUUUUUCUACUAAAAGGAAUUGUUGCUCUCAAAAUUCUCUUCUGCCUCCCUUAAUUUUCGUUUUUCGAAUCCCUCUCUUUACCAACCUUCAUUCACGAAAACCGAACCCCUUUCUCGGCUCUCCGUGAGCCCUUUUAUAGAAGGGAUUGAGGGCAUUCCAGGGAUUUCCGAAAAUAGCCCAUUUUAAUUUCGAAUUCCCCCCUCCAGCUCCGUUUUUGUCCUCAAUCCGCACCAAUUUGGGUUUGGUGGACCAAUAGAAUUGGGAUGAAACGAAUUCUCCCCCAGACCCAAUGAAAAAUCGCCAAAUCCGUACCAUUACCCCAAAAUUUGCGGAAUAUGGACGUUAGAUGAGCCAACUCACCCUCUUUCUAGAAGCUUCUCGGAUCUUCCAUGGUACAACAUCGCGUGGGACGCGUGAAGAGGAUUAAGACGAGUUGGUUGCGGGUCGAUUUGACGGAUUUUGAUGAGUUGGAGCUGUUGAUCGAGUUAUAGAAGGUCGGGGCGGGUUGAUGGUUAUUGAAGCUGGUCGGUGUUGAGAUUGGGUGAAGGCUAUUUUGAUGAAGACAACAACUGAAAUGGGCCGGGUCUGAAAUUGGGUUGACAUUGGAUUGGGCCUGGGUAGUUAUUAAUUUGUUGUUGGGCUGGUGAAUGGGUAAAAGGGAGUGGGACGGAUGGGAUUUGGGCUUGUGUUGUUGAAAUGGGCUGUUGAAGUUCGGAACAAAUGGGAGAUUGAUCAAGAAAGAUAUUUGGGCCAAAAUUGGGCAGAUUAGGAAGGAAUUUAGCAGUUGGGUAACUUUUGGGGUUUCUUAAUAAAUAGCCUCUAGGGAUUAGCCAAUUUCAUUUCAUUUUUUGGUCAAAUUGAAGAUUAAUUGGCCAAUUGGUCGAUUUAAUUUCAAUUAUGACCAAAAUUAAAUUGAAAUCCAAUUCGAAUCAAUACCUCAUUUAAUCCCGAACUUCUCGAUUUAAUAAAAUCAAACACAUAUUUAUCCAAAUAAAUUAUUUUUGAGAUUACAUUGUAUUUGAAUCAAAAUUUUAAUUAUCACAUUUAUUUUCAAAGAUUAUCCUUAAUUAAAAAUAGACAUUGAUGCGAAUGUUCAUUUAAAUGACAUCAUUUAUACAAUCUCGUAUAUGUAAAUAUGAAAAUAUAUAAUUAUUACUUAAAUAACAAACUUAGCCCAAAUACAUAUUUAAAAUGCAUUUAUUUUGAAAAAAUAACUGUUGUGAUUUUAUUUGAAAAUCGAAGAAACUCGAGAUUUAACGUAGUUGAGGAGGGCAAAAAUUAGGUGUCAACACAUGUAAAAUAAAUUCAGGCGAAGGUAGAGCAAGAAACAGAAUUACCGUUUUACUUGAUGUUUCAACAUCACAUAUCGUUCACACAAAUCAUUCUUUGGCUUGACAUAAUCCUUGAACUAGUAUAUCAAUAUUUCACCAGCAUAUACUCAAGCGCAACCAGUGUUUGAAAAACAAAUGUGCGGCCGCUUACCUUCUUUGUUGUCACUGUGCAUGACAAUGCUAUAUCAAGUGGAGUCUGAUUUUCUUUGUUAAGUGACAUCUUCUUUGCUCUAGGAUGGUUUAUUAAUUCAGGCACAUGGUUACCAGAGGCAGCAAGCAAAUGGAGAGGAGUGUUGUCGUCGCUAUUUGGCUCAUCAACAAGGCUGUCGCACUUAUCAGAGUCUAAUAAGAAGCGAACUACCUCGUCUUGAUUGUUCAAUACGGAAACAUGAAGAGCAUUUUGACUGUUGCUGUUAAGCAUAUCCCAACAAUCAAGGCGGUGAUUUAAUAGCUUAUAUAUCAUGUUUACGUCACCUUCACUGGCUGCAAUGUGAAUUGUUGUCGUCCAGUCAUUUUCACUGCCUGUCGGAAGGUACACUAAGGAUUGUUUCCACCGCAGCAUAUCAGAAACUACGUCUUCCAAUCCUAAUUUAACAGCAUAGUGCAGUGAAUUCCAACCCCAUAAGUCAGGUUCCUCGCAUAAAGACUUAUUCCAUUGCCAGAGUGAUCUAAUGCAAUCUGGAGCAUUCCGUGCAUAAAUAAGGGGUUAGAUCUUCUCGCAAAUAUAGAUGCACAACAGACAUUACGAAAUCAUCAACAGAUAUUGCAGAUAGAAAAAAUUGGAUGUUGAUACAGCAAAUAGCAAAAAUUAUGUAUCUUUAUGUUUCUGAAUUACUGCUGCAUGCAGAGGCAUUCUAUUCGAUGGACCUGCAGUGUAAGUUGGUUUCUUGCAGCAUUCCAAGAUGUUAGUCAAAGCAUCAUGAAAACCAGAUUCAGCCGCCAGAUAGAGUAGCGUAUCCUGCGCAUGGUUAGGCGGAAAUUCAAAUUCAGAAUCUUCUUUCACCAAGAGCUUAACUACAUCUAGAUGUUGACUCCGCACGGCCUUGUGCAGCGCUGUAUCUCCACUAGCAUCUGUCAUCCUCGUGAGUUUCUCCUUAGUAUUAUGAUCUUCGACACAUGCAAGUAGCACACGUACUACUUCAGUGUGCCCUUCGUUAGCUGCUAUGUGAAGACCGGUUUCAUUUUUCUUGUUUUGACAGCAUAACAAUGCUGGAGUAAUCUUAAGGGCUUCUCCCACGAAAUAGGAGUGGCCAUAGAGGGCUGCAACAUGGAGGACCGUGUUACCCUUUGGAGUGACUUGGUAACCGUUUUCUUCAUCCCUUUUCAAAUGAUCAGCAAGUAUAAAAUAGGCAUCUCCGAUAUUGCCUCUCAUCGCAGCUUUAUACAAGGUCGGAUCCAUUUUGGAUUUGGAGUUUUAUCCAAGAUCUCUCAAUGACAAUCCUGUGAGUCCUUCGCUUUCUCUUAAUGAAUAUAUAGGAAAAACUAAUUAGAUUCUUAAUGAAUUUUAAAGAAGAAAGGGAUCUGGUGUUUGCCUUGAUCACAAGAAAGGGAUUUUUAUGUUUCCGUAUUUCGCUUUCGUGUCAAAAGUGAAAAAAUAUCAUGAGCAUAAACAGUUCUAAGAACUUAUUAAACCUCCCAAGACAAAGUAAUACUUGGAUCUCUUAAGAUUCACUUCAUCUUAUGAUUCUUUUCUCAUAAAAACAAGCAAGUAGAGUAGUCGAUUACUUAAGAAACGAACAAAACAUGACUACAGAACAAAGAAAAUCUUGUAACCAACUCAAAUGAGCAAAACUUAACGAAAUAAUAAUGGCGAUAUUAUCUAUAGGCAGCUGCAACAUACUCGACUUUACAAGUUAAGAAAGGAACCAAAAAAAGAGAAAAACAAGAGAAUAUCAUCAUAGGUUGCUUCUUAAGCACCAAAGAGAAUGUCAUUUCUCCAAAAGAAAAGAUUGCAGUGUAAAGCAUCGUAGCUAUGCGUAGGGUCCGGGGAAGAGGGACAGACCACAUGGGUCUAUUGUAUGCAACCUUACCUUGCAGUUCUGCCAGAGGCUGUUUCAAGGCUUGAACCCGUGACUUCCUGGUCACAUGACAACAACUUUACCAGUUUCUCCAAUGUCCCAGAGAGCUAUCCGUAGGGUCGGGGGAAGAGGGCCGGACCACAGGGGUCUAUUGCAUCGGGCUGUCCUUGUAUCAUUUUCAAUUAGUCUUGUUUGUGUUGGAAAAAAGAGUCAUGGCAAGAAGAUCUUAAAUAGUAAAAAGAUGGUUUUAUUCAUGUUUGCUUUUCUUUACAAAUUCCUUUCUUUUGAUCAAAGGCAAAGAUCUGUGUGGUGUUCAGAUAAAUCUAUAUAAUGUUUCAACCAGAGAAAGCAAAGAACUCAGUAAACCAAAUAAAAGAAACGAAAAUGAAUCCAACCUUGUAUAAUGCUGCGGCGGAAGGCAAUAUCAGUAAUUGCUAUCUACCCCCCCCCACCACCACUCACCCCCCCUCCCAAAACUCCCAACACAUGUACCGUGUAACUCUCAACAGAUUGGAAGAAAUGUUGGAGUCCCACAUCGAUGGGUUUAAAGGGUCCUUGGUCUCCUUAUAUGGUCUAUUUCAUCGGUUGCAUCUCUUUCCUUGUGUAAACUUUUCCAUUAUGUUCCCUGAACUGAACUCAGAAAAUUCUAUGAGAUCAAGAUUCAAAUGUGAGUUUACAUUUAUAGAAAAAUGACUUAAUAAACCUAGAAAAAUAAUAACAACGUUACUACUGUGCGAAAAUGAAUAAGAAUGGUAUAAUUCAAUUCAACAUUUUUUGUCCUUUUGGAAAUGCACUCUUCCCUCAACUUUUCAACAUAGGGGGUUUGCUUGCUUCCGCUGGUGAUGGGUGGACCAGUGAAAGAUCCAAAGACAUGUUGUGAACAUGGAUACCCCAGAGGCUAGCCAAGUUGUUGGGACCGAGGCUAAACCAUGAAGAGGCCCAUGAAUUAGACAGACCAACAAUAGCUUUGCUAAUUUGUGACCCCAUAUUUCAAUUGUUUCAUUUGCCGAUUAAUCAGUUUUCAGUCUACACGUAGCACUAAAGUUUUCGCUAUGUGUGUAGGGUCCAGAAUAGGAUCGGACCACAAGGGUCUAUUGUACAUAGUCUUACCUUGCAUAAUAUCGCAUAAUUUAGACAUAUAUCUCUAUUAUUUAAUAUUUGAAUUAUCUUUAGUCGAAUUCCUGCACCCGUAUCCGUUCACUCCGAAAUUAAGAAAGAAAGAAAUCCUGCAAAGACUAGACUAGAAAACACUUGCAAAGGGAUACAAUUGAUCAUAUAUAGCUGAAAUUAUAUGCAACAUCAAACACAUUGUUGCACUUUUAGAAAUUAGAACAAAUACAUUAUCUUUAUAAUGAUGAAAUCCUCUUGUCACCUAUGUCGCGCGGACUCUUCACUUUUGAUGCCGCAACCGCGUCGGAUUCUCAAAAAUACACUAGUUUUGGAGAAUCCGGAACACACCCGCUGACAAUUUUGGAGAGUCCGAGCAACAUAGCUUGUCACACAUUGGCAGCUCUGUUCUGGUUUCUUUCACUAUGCUUCUUUUUUUUAAGACCAAUUGAUCCAGCAAAGCCAAGCAACAUAUACAAAGAGAACCCGCCCAUGACAGCGACAGUAACAGCGAUACCAACUGAAUGUGCUAACGUAACAUACAUACCAGUUGCAAAUGCAAUUACAACCGCUGUCAUCGACAGAAGCUGCAACAUAGUUGCAACCAUAUAAAGACGGACAAUAAGCGAGAACUCCUUUUCGGAUGAUAUUGCAUUUGUCGCCAUGGAAAAGUAGGCGAAUACAGCAGCAGAGGAGCAUGCAAACGCGACGGCAUUCGAAACAACAAAUGCACGGAACACUGCAUUUUUUAUUAGAAUCGCCAUCCCUUUAUUAGGGCUAUCAGUAUCGCUAUCAAAACCACCUGGUAACGUGAAACCAGCUGUGAACGUCACUGUCAUUAGUAGCGUUGCCACAACUAAAUGCAUUUCAGCUGUCUUCAUAAUAUUUUCGACUAUUCUUUCUUCUUGCCUAGCUCUUUCUUCUCGAUCACCCCCCGACUCCAUCUCUGGUAGCAACUGCAUCAUCCUUCUCGCACCUAGAAUGCGUGAGAAGACUUUAUCUACAAUGUGGAAGACCAUUCUUUUUUAUUUAAAUAGCUAUGCAAUUAUCCAAAAUUAUGAACAUUUGUCUUUUUUGGUAUAUAUAUAUAUAUAUUUGUCUUUUGCUUUCUCAACAUUAUAUAGGAAAACAAUUAAACUCUUCAUCCUCAAGUCUCUGCUGAGUAGUGUUUCUUUUUUGAAAAGACAUAUACUCUCUCCGUUUCAACUCGUUUGGCUUACUUUCCAUUUGCUCCGUUUCAACUUGUCUGGCUUACUUUCCAUUUUAGUCUGUUUAAAGAAUGACACUUCCCUUUUUUAGCAACUCUUUAGUUUCAACUUUCGAUAUGACAGGUUUAAGACUAACACUUUCCUUCUCUAGAAACUUUUUUGUUUCAACUUUCCACGUGACAGGUUAAACUGAGACUUCCCUUUUUUAGCAACUUUUCCAAAAAAAAAAAUUGUUUAAUUUUUCUGACGUUAAGAAUUGUUCCAAUAAUUUCGAGCUAGAUUUUUUCAAGAAAGUGUUUAUAAUGCUACAUAAAUUGAAACCAAGACCACCCUCCCCCCCNNNNNNNNNNNNNAAAAAAAAAAAAGAUUUUCUUGCGAAGAAUCUCGUGAUUCUUUCAUCGAAAUAAGGACAAAUAGUUUGAUUUGAUAUUUUCAAAGAAUCAACUAAGGUUUUCUCAUAGUUCGUAUAUCAAAAAAAGGAACUAUUCAUAUGUUAGUUAAAGCAAAAUUUGGAUUGUACAAAUUUAGAUCCAUUUUCUUUUCUUUUUUUUUCCUUUUUUUUUUGGAUUUUGGGAUUUAUAAAUAUUUCAAAUUAUGAUCUUGUGUGUCCUUUAUUACAUUAUCAUAGAAAUAUUCUGAACACAACACAAACAUUUGCCUUUGAUAAAAAGAAAAAGGAAAGGUGUUUAAUUUGUUCUUUGCUUUGAUUGGAAGCAAAGAAUUUGUACUUUUUUCACAGUAAACUCUGUCUAUCAAUGCUAGAACAGAUGAGAAGAAAUCAUCCUAGCAUUUAUCUUCUAGUGAAAAUUGAACCCGAGAUUUCAUAGUGCAUAACGAACUUCUUUGACGACUAGGCGACACCUUUGGAUUCUCCUAGCUAACAUCUUUGAAUUAAGAUUGUAAUUGUUUCGUUCAUCCAGAGAAAGCAGUCAUGCUCACCAUAUUUGUGACGAGAAGGAUGAUGGUGGUGGAACCACAUGCAGAGUCUGAGGGUAAUGAUCGUGAAUACAGAGCUAGUCGAGAUGAAAAAUUAGUCGAAAACAUUAUGAAGACAGCUCAAAUGCAUUUAGUUGUGGCAACUAUAGUACUCUUCUUGAUGAAUCUCCAAAUAGAAAACUAAGUAGUACCAUUUUUUGCCUUCGACCCCAAGAAAGGCAUUUGUUAUUUGCCUUGAUUGGAAGAAAGGGAUUUGCUAACCAAACUAUGUCAAAAAUAAUUUUUACGCUAUCAGGUUAUAUCGACAUGCACUAACAGUUAAUUCUCCUGGUCAAGCAUUGCAUGAUAACAAUUUGCAACAAUCAAUUUAAUUGACGACAGCAAUGUUAGAACAUACAUGGGUGAAUUCACAACGUUGGUUUUAUGGAUUCACCAUCUGAAGCUAAUAGUUUUUGCCAGAUCCACUAUAUAUAUAUUAAGACAUCACUGAAUAUCUAUAAAUAUUUUGACUUGAGAACCCAUAAAUUUUAUGUUAUGUACAAUGGAAUUUACUACCUGUAACCAAACACUAUAUCAGUUAUACAGAGAUUAUAUAAUCAUACACCCUCGUGGUGGGGCCCUUUCCCAGACCCUGCGCAUAACGGAAGCUUUAAUGCACCGAGCUGCCUUUUUUUCUUGUGUGUGUGUGUUAUAUAGAGAGGGAGAAGAAGAGAGAAAAGUCACUAACUAUCAACAAAUAUAAUAUUUUGAAUCCAUAAUUUCCAAAGUACAAUAAGUACAGCUUUAAGAAUUUCGAAGGUUGAAUCUUUCAAGUUUAAGUCCUGCAGAUGACGGUCUAUAUCUGUGUCUAGAACUUCGGAUAGCAUGUAUCCUGGAAAUUUCAUUGCAUCUUUUAAGGCACAUUUCUUAUCGCAUAAGCGAAAUUGUCUCAAAAGACCUAUAAACUCUCGGAAUUUAUGCAGACUUAGUGAAAGAUAGGACAUAACGGAAGAAAAAGAUGAUCAUAUAGGGGAUACCAUUUAGUUGGUUUAAGACAUGUUAGUAAGGCGAUUUAUUAUAUGGUGUUGGUAGUUGUUAAAGGCGAUUUACAAGAGGAAUUGACCUCGCCUAUAGAUUCAUGUUGUCCAGUCAAGAACUCACGUUCAGAAGAUAAAAGUUACGGAUAUGAGGAAGCUAAGAUGGAUGUGUGGGACUAAGAGAUAGGAUUAGAAAUGAAGAUAUUCUAGUAUAAGUGGCCUUGAUGAUGAACAAGAUGCGGCAGGUGAGACUGAGAUGGUCCGGGCAUGUAAAGAAGAGGGGAGCGUAUGCCCCACCGUGGAGGUGCGAGAGAUUGGCUAUGAAUGGUUUCAAGAGAGGUAGUGUAGACCGAAGAAGUAUUGGAAAGAGCUGAUUAGACAAGAAAUGAUGUAGUUUGCUGGGGAUAUGACCUAAGACGGGAGGUUAUGGAGGACACGAAUGCGGUAGAGUUCUCUCGCUUUACCUUCCAUACUCGUUAAUUAGUCGUAGUACUACUCUUGUAGUGUCUCUUCCUUUAAUUUCUAUAAUUAUCUAUUACUCUUUUGUACUUCGAUUAUCGUAGUAUUCUGUUGUAGUUAUUGGUCCUUUAAUUUUAAGACUGCUUUGGUGCACCGGGCUGCUUUGAAUUGUUUUUCCUUGCGCUGAAGGUCUAUAUUCUCCCCAAACUCCACUUGUUGUUGCUGUACCAUGAAUUAUUUAGUGAAGAUACAUUGGUUCUAUAGCAUUGUCGGUGCCGAAAAAAUGAUCUUACAUAGAUUGUUAUAUCAUGUGAUAAAGGAUGUAUUAGUAAAAUAACAUGUAAUGGACUAAAAACCAAAUCGGUCAUUCAAGGUAUUCGGUAAAAACUGAAAUAUGUAGUUGAAUUAUACAUUUGGAAGAAAUAUCAAAUUCUUCUUAAACUCAUCAUCAUAUAUAUUUGGAAGCAAUAAGUACAAGUAGUAGCUCGCAUUCAUGUCUCCCUACUCGCUUAUAUUCUUCAUCUUACUCUCAUCAUAUUUUUCUCCAAGUAUAAAUAAAAGCCAAGAAGUACAAUAAAAUAGAGAGGCAACCUAUGAAACAGACAGUAACGGCAAGACCAAGUGAAUGUGAUAAAGUAGCAAACAUACCAGUUGCGAAUGCAAUUACAACUGCUAACAUUGACAAGCACAGGCAAACACCUGAGAGAUGAUAAAGCUUCUCUAAAGUUUUCUUAUCUUCAGGAUCUAUACUUACAUCUGCCAUGAGGAAGUAGAUGAAUAUGGCAACAGCCGAGAAUGUGAAGGCAAUGGCGUCGGAAACAACAAAUGCACGAAAUGCUGUUUUCCUUAUUAGAAUAGCCAUCCCUUGAUUAUUGCUAUCGGGGUUGCUCUCAAAACCUCCUGGCAAUGUGAUACCAGCAGCGAAAGUGACUGUCAUUAUCAAAGUGGCCACAACAAUAUGGAGUUGAGCUGACUUCAUGAUACUUUCGACUUCCUCUUGAUCUGCCUUUUUAGCUUUAUCAUGAUCAUCUUCCCUCAGUUGCAUUUUGACUCCUGUUCCCGUUUCAUCAUUUGGAUUGGGUAUGUACUCGUACUUCUGCUUUACCUCAUUGUCACGUUUUCCAAAUCGGCCAAUGCUACACAAAUCCUCCAUCAAUUUCUCCUAUUUUCAUCAAUAGUACAGUUUAUAUUGAUGUAAAAUAUAAACUAAUCUGUUCAUAGCUUACGAGACAACGAUAUCAGGCGAAGGUAGAGCAAGAAAUAGAAUUAAAAAAGUUGUAAUUGAUGUUUCAACACCACAUCAAGAAUGGAAAAAAUCUGAAGAUUUGUGAGUGCACGCAAAUCGUUCUUUCGCUUGACAUAAUCCUUGAACUAGUAUAUCAAUAUUUCACCGUCAUAUACUCAAGCACAACCAGCAUUUGAAAAACAAAUGUGCGGCCGCUUACCUUCUUUGUUGCCACUUUGCAUGACAAUGCAAUAUCAAGUGGAGUCUGGUUUUCUUUGUUAAAUGACAUCUUCUUUGCUCUAGGAUGGUUUAUUAAUUCAGGCACAUGGUUACCAGAGGCAGCAAGCAAAUGGAGAGGAGUGUUGCCGUCGCUAUCUGGCUCAUCAACAAGGCUGUCGCACUUAUCAGAAUCUAAUAAGAAGCGGACUACCUCGUCUUGAUUGUUCAGUACGGCAACAUGAAGAGUAUUUUGAUUGUUGCUGUUAAGCAAAUCUCGACAAUCAGGGGAGUGAUUUAAUAGCUCAUUUAUCAUGUUUACGUCACCUUCACUGGCUGCAAUGUGAAUUGCUGUCGUCCAGGCAUUUUCACUGCCUGCCGGAAGGUACACUAAGGAUUUUUUCCACCUCAGCAUAUAAGAAACUACGUCUAUCAGUCCUAAUUUGACAGCAUAGUGUAGUGAAUUCCAACCCCAUAAGUCAAGCUCCUCGCAUAAAGGCUUAUUCCAUCGCCAGAGUGAUCUAAUGCAAUCUGGAUGUGUCAACACGAUAAAUGCAUAAAUAAGGGGUUAGAUCUUGCAAAUAUAGUUGCACAACAGACAUUACGAAAUUAUCAACAGAAAUUGCAGAUAACUAUUUUUUAGAGCGGUCGCAUAGCUAGUAAUGUGAAUGAUACAUAAUUUUUAUUUCACGCAUUUAUACCAUUUUAAAUGGUAAUUCUUGAUGCAUCUCCUCUCUAGAGAGCCUUUCGUCCAGUUUCUCGAGUACCAUUUGAAUCUAAUGGAAAAAUUAGCUAUCUCACAAUCAACAAUCCCCUCUUCUCCUCUUCCCUCCGAGUGAAACAACUUCCAUUACCACUAAAAUGGAUAUCAAAUUUAGGAUGCUGAAAAAACCAGCUCAUUGGAAAAGACAAGUGCUGUCACCUGUCUCUGUUAGAAAAUCCACAAAUGCAACAACAACAUACCCAGUGUAUUGUUAGGAUUUGUCGUGAAUUUCUUACCUUACUUGGAUUCUACCAUAAUUGUGUUUUACUUCGGAAAGCAUGAUUUCUAUUAGGUUUAUUCUUUCUUAGAAGAAGGUUUUGUAACUCUAUAAAUAAAACAACUCUCUUCAUAACACAAUAGCAUCCACAAUAUAGUCGUAUUAAGAGUUUUGUUUAAGGGAGAUUUUAUCUCUCAUUAGUUUUAUGUUUUUUUUUUAAUAUUAAGUUUUAUAUGUAGGCCAAUUGGCCAGAAUAUAAUAAUAUUAAGUUUUUAGUAUUGUUUUAUGUGAUUUGCAACAAUUAGCUUCCGCAUGACGCUUGACAAUGGUUUGCAACAAUUAGCUUCCGCAUGAUGCACUCUCGAUUUCGAACCCAAUAUGUAUUCCCACAUAGUGGGGUCUGGGGAGGCUGUUUAGCAAAUAUUUUUAGUCAAAGAAUAUAACGUUGCACAGAGAUACUGAAAUGACAUGGAUCAACCCGCACCUCGGCUAAGUCUUCUUCUCUUCCCUCCUAUUUUUUCUUACGGCAGAAUCGCUAUUCAGGUGGGAUGAAAACUGCUGGACAUUAAAUAACCACAUCACGAUUGAUCUCGGUUGGCUAGUUUAGAAAGUCGCGGGAGCAGGCCAAAACUUCUUUGUUCACAUACAUCAUUCGCUACACCUUGGCGAGAUAGUCUUUUGGAGAGGAGAAGAGGAAUUGAGGUAGUUGUCAGAGAUUUAACUAGUAAGAAAAUUAGUCCAUUGGAUUAUAAGUUGAUGCAGCUAAUGGAGGAUCCUAGUGAGACUAUCGACAUGAUUAAUCCAAAUUUUUGAAGCCGAUGUUAAUUAUGAUACAGCAAAUAACAAAAAUUUUCUACCUUUAUGUUCCUGAAUUACUGCUGCAUGCAGCGGCGUUCUAUUAGAUGGACCUGCAGCGUAAGUUGGUUUCUUGCAGGAUUCCAAGAUGACAAUCAAAGCAUCAUGAAAACCAGAUUCAGCCGCCAGAUACAGUGGCGUCUCCUGCGCAUGGUUAGGCGGAAAUUCAAAUUCAGGAUCUUCUUUCACCAAGAGCUUAACCACAUCUAGAUGUUGGCUCCUCACGGCCUUGUGCAGCGCUGUAUCUCCACUAGCAUCCGUCAUCGUCGUGAGUUUCUCCUUAGUAUUAUGAUCUUCGACACAUGCAAGUAGCACACGGACAACUUCAGUAUGCCCUUCGUUAGCUGCUAUGUGAAGAGGCGGUUUCAUUUUUCUUGUUUUGACAGCGUAACAAUGCCGGCGUAAUCUUAAGGACUUCUGCCACGAAAUGAGAGUGGCCAUAGAGGGCUGCAACAUGGACGACCGUGUUGCCCUUCGGAGUGACUUGGUAGCCGUUUUCUUCAUCCCUUUUCAAAUGAUCAACAAGUAUAAAAUCGCCAUCUCCGAUAUUGCCUCUCAUCGCGGCACUAUACAAGGUCGGUUCCAUUCCUUUUGAUUUGGUGUUUUAUCCAAGAUCUACCAAUGAUAAUCCUGUGAGUCCUUUGCUUUCUGUCUUUAAUGUGAACUGAUGGAUGGAGUAUAUAUAUACAUGUACUUGAUGAAGUCUAUUUACCUAAGCCUUUGCAUUAGAAUAUCUUAAUAUUACCUAAGUCUCUUUGUUUAGUCUUUAUAUUAGAAUAUCUGGAGAUACCAGACUGGUCAAUUUUACAUAUAUGGUGUGGCCAUAAGCUGAACUUGAGAGUCCUUUGCUUCUAUUUCCAAGGCUAGAACAGAUAGGUAUAAAUACCAACUUCGUUCACCACUCGGCCUCACCUUUGGAUGCUACUAGCUAAAAGAAGGGCAGUCGGUGUACUAAAGCUCCCGAUAUGCAUAAGGUCCGCCUCACCACAAAGGUAUAUUGUACACAGUCUUAACUUGCAUUUCUGCCAGAGGCUGUUUCCGAGGCUUGAACUCAUGACCUCCUGAUCACGUGACAACAACUUUACCAGUUGUCUAUCAUAAUUUUGGAUAAUAGCCCAAAGCAUUUAGUAAUUUCCAGCCCUCAACAAUUGCAUCUUUUUGCCGUCUUCAUAUUUUAUGAUGUCCCUACAUAAUUAAUGUACUUUAACACUAUAUACGUUUACUUUUUCAGUAUAGACAAAUUGCAAGCUAGUGUCAAUUAAUCAAUCAUGUUAUAGGGCUAUCAAUAUCACUUUCAUAACGUGAAACCAGCUGUGAAGGUCACUAUCAUGAAAAGCUAGCUGCCACUACUAAAUGUAUUUGAGCUGCAUGCCUUCAUAAUAUCUCUCUCUGACUAUUCUUUCAUCUCAUGGAGAGCGUUGGAGUAAUUGGUAAAAUUGUUGUCAAAUGAUGAGGAGGUCACGGAUAAUUAAUUAAUAAAUACCCAAUGAACUUGAAAGUCGUUUGCUUUCUCGAGGUGAAACAACAACACACUCAGUAUAUUCCCACCAAGUGGGGUCUUGAAAGGGUAAGUGUACGCAGUCCAUAUCACUACCUCAGGUGAGAUAAAGAGGUUGUUUUCGAUAUACUCCCGACUCAAGAACUUUCUCAAGGUGAAACAUUAUAUAGAAAUUAAAAGUUGACCCGGUCUUUCCUUAGUACCAUAUAUAUCAGGCUCAUCCAUGUAACAUGGUGCAUGUGGCCAAACUUGCCAUCACUAAGUCAAGUUGUACUAUUAUUAGGGAAAAGAACAUUCUAUGACACUUUUUAAAAUAAAUAGUCUAAGUUUGAAAAUUUUCGAAAAGUGAUCAGUCGGAUAUACUAUUUCCGCUUUAUAACCAUUUCCUAAUUUGGGUCAUUUUGGCUUACGUAGUCCAUAUAUAGUUUAUAUAUAAUGCUGAUACAGUCUAUAUACAAUACUGAUACAUUAUUCAACUUGGGCAAUUCGACCCUUUUAAAAAUAUUUCAUUUUUUUUGUUAUAAAAUUUUAACUGAUCAAAUAUUUUGUUUUUCUUUAUUGUUUAGAAAUAAUAAUUAAAUUAUAUAAAAAUGAUAUAAUUGUUAAAUAGAAUAUGUAUUUAUGUAAGAUAUAUAUAGAGAGAGAGAAAUUGUAUAGUUCUAUCAAAUAUGUAUAUGUAUAAAAUAUAUAGAAAAAAUAUAUAGAAAAUGUAUGAAAAUUAUAUAAUUAUUGUAUAAAACGUGUAAAAAAAAAUGUCCAGUUAUUGUACAAAUUGUGUAUCAAAACUGUAUAAUUUUCGUAUAGAAUAUUUAUAUGUAUAAGAUAUGUAUAGAAAGUGUAUAGAAGAUGUGUAGAAACAGUAUAGAAUAAGUCAGUAAAUUGAAAUGGCUAGAAAGUAGAAUUUAAAUUCCAUAACCAUUUUCAUGGACUUAUUAGUAGUAGUACAAUGAUUUUGAGAGUGGAUCAAUAAACCCUCAACAACCCAUUUUGAAAGUUUGACAGAAUUUAGUAAUCUCGAUUUGAAUUUUAUUUGUAUUUUUUAAAAAAAUAUAUUUUUAAUAUGUACAAAUUAUUAGUUUGGAAUUCAUUCACACAAAGAGGGUAGAAGCUAUUAUAUCUUUAAAGUUAUGUUAUGUUAUGCCCGAAGAUUAUUGAGUUCAAAUGAACACAAGAAAAAAAUUGCUCGGACUCAUUCACUUUCGUUGUCGCACCCUUGUCGAGACGACAUGGAUUAUAAUUCAUGCUGUCCAGUCAAGAACUCACGUUCAGAAGAUAAAGUUACGGAUAUGAGGAAGCUGAGAUGGGUGUUUGGGACUAAGAGAUAGGAUUAGAAAUGAAGAUAAUCGAGUAUGAGUGGCAUUGACGAAGAACAAGAUGCGACAAGUGAGACUGAGAUGGUCCAGGCAUGUAUAGAGGAGAUCAGGAGCCGAUGCACCGGUAUGGAGGUGCGAGAGAUUGACUUUGAAUGGUUUCAAGAGAGAUAGAGUAGACCGAAGAAGUAAUGGGGAGAGCGGAUUAGACAAGACUUGAUGAAACAUGUAUGCACUUAAACACUAGGAUUAAGAAGCUCAGGGACGGUCAAAAAUGAACUUGUUUAAUUUUUCAGACGUUAAUAAUUCCAAUAAUUUCGAGCUGGAUAUUUUCAAGAAAGUGUGUAUAAUGCUACGUAUAUUGCAACCAAGACCCAAAAAAAAAAAGUUUUUCUUGCGAAGAAGCUUUUGAUCCUUUUGCCUUUGAUGAAAAAGAAAAGGAAAGGUAUUUAAGUUGUUCUUUGCUUUAAUUGGAAGCAAGGAAUUUGUUCAACUUUUUCACAGGGCCAUCAACAACUGUUAACAGUAAAGUCUGUCUACCAAUGCUAGAACAGAUGACAAGAAAUCACCCUAGCGUUUAGCUUCUAGUGAAAAUUGAACCCAAGACGACUUCAUUGACCACUAGGCGAAACCUUUGGAUGCUCCUAUCUAGCUAGCAUCUUUGGAUUAAGAUUGUAAUUGUUUCUAUCAUCCAGAGAAAGCAGUUCUGUAUGCGAUGUUUGUUAUUUGCUAAAGAAAGGGAUAACUUCUUGUUUGAGUUUUAUGCUUUACAUCUCCACCAUUAUUUACUGUGAAGUAGAAAACCUUAUACUCCUUAUCAAGAGUUUAUGUUAUGUCGAAAAUAAUUUUUACGCUAUCAGGUUGUACGACAUGCACUAACAGUUAAUUCUCCUGGUCAAGCAUGGCAUGAUUAUAACGUGAAACAAUCAAUGUAAUUGACGACAGCAAUAUUAGAACAUAUAUGGGCGGAUUCACAACGUUGGUUUUAUGGAUUCACCAUCUGAAUCUAAUAGUUUUUGCCAUAACCUGUAUAUAUAUAUUAAGAAAUCACUGAAUAUCCAUUAAUAUUUUGACUUGAGAACCCAUAGUUUUUAAGUUACGUACAACGGAAUUUACUACCAGUAACCAAACACUGUAUCAGUUAUACAGAGACUAUAUAAUCAUUAACAGAUAAAAGGCAUGUAAAUUGCAAACACCAGAUUCUCGACAUGAAUAUGUAUAUAUGUGUGAUUUGUAAUAUUGGGCAUGUACUCGUACUUCCUCUUUACCUCAAAGUCACGUUUUCCAAAUCGGCCAAUGCUACACAAAUCCUCCAUCAAUUUCUCCUAUUUUCAUCAAUAGUACAGUUUAUAUUGAGUCUGUCGAAAAAUUUAACAUAGUAACUUGUCUAACUGACAACUAAUCUGUUCAUAGCUUAGGAGACAAUGAUAUCAUGUAAAGUAAAUUCAAGCGAAGGUGGAGCAAGAAAUAGAAUUAAAGUUUUACUUGAUGUUUCAACACCACAUAUCGUUCACAGAAAUCGUUCUUUCGCUUGACAUAAUCCUUGAACUAGCAUAUCAAUAUUUCACCAGCAUAUACUCAAGUGCAACCAGUAUUUGAAAAACAAAUGUGCGGCCACGUACCUUCUUUGUUGUCUCAUUGCAUGACAAUGCUAUAUCAAGUGGAGUCUAGUUUUCUUUGUUAAAUGUCAUCUUCUUUGCUCUAGGAUGGUUUAUUAAUUCACACACAUGGUUACCAGAGGCAGCAAGCAAAUGGAGAGGAGUGUUGCCGUUGCUAUCUGGCUCAUCAACAAGGCUGUCGCACUUUAUUGGAACUACUCUAUGACCAUUUUUUUUUUUAAUUUUUUUAGUGACAACAUUUAAUUUUUUUCUUCAAUUAUAUUAUAAUUGUCAAAAAACCGAGAAAACCGAAAAUACCCGACUAAAACAGAAAUAAAAAAAUCGAUUGUAUAUUGAUUUGAUUUGGUUUAUAGAUUUAGAAAACCGACAUUAUUGAUUUAGUUAUAUUUGAAUAAAAAACAGAACCAACCCGACCUAUGAUAAAGGAUGUAUAACUAAAAAAGCAUCUAAUGGACUAGAAAACCAUAACUUUCAUAGGUAAUUCAAGGUAUUGGGUAAAAACUGAAAUAUAUUUGCUAGCAAUAAGUACAAGUAGUAGCUAGCAUUCAUGUCUCUCUACUGGCUUACAUUCUUCAUCUUACUCUCACCAUAUAUAGCUACAACUAUAAAUAACAACCAAGAAGUACAAUAAAAUAGAGAGGCAACCUAGGAAACAGACAGUAACGGCAAGACCAAGUGAAUAUGAUAAAGUAGCAAACAUACCCGUUGCGAAUGCAAUUACAACUGCUAACAUUGACAAGCACUGAAAAAUACCUGCGAGAUCAUAAAGCUUCUGUACAAGUUUCUUCCUUUGAGGAGAUCUACUUGUAUCUGCCAUGAGGAAGUAGAUGAAUAUGGCAACAGCUGAGCAUGUGAAGGCAAUGGCAUCGGAAACAGCAAAUGCACGAAAUGUUGUUUUCCUUAUUAGAAUUGCCAUCCCUUGAUUAGGGCUAUCGGAGUCGCUCUCAAAACCUCCUGGCAAUGUGAUACCAGCGGCGAAAGUGACAGUCAUUAUCAAAGUGGCCACAACAAUAUGGAUUUGAGCUAUCUUCAUAAUACUUUCGAUUACUGUUUGAUCUGCCUUUUCAGCUUUAUCGUGAUCAUCAUCUCUCAGUUGCAUUUUGCCUCCUGUUCCUGUUUCAGCAUUUGGAUUGGGCAUGUACUCGUACUUCCGCUUUACCUCAAAGUCACGUUUUCCAAAUCGGCCAAUGCUACACAAAUCCUCCAUCAAUUUCUCCUAUUUUCAUCAAUAGUACAGUUUAGAUUGAGUCGGUCGCAAUCAGUAUUUGAAAAACAAAUGUGCGACCUCUUACCUUCUUUGUUGUCACUGUGCAUCACAAUGCUAUAUCAAGUGGGGUUUGAUUUUCUUUGUUAAAUGACAUCUUCUUUGCUCUAGGAUGGUUUAUUAAUUCAGGCACAUGGUUACCAGAGGCAGAAAGCAAAUGGAGAGGAGUGUUGCCGUCGCUAUCUGGCUCAUCAACAAGGCUGUCGCACUUAUCAGAGUCUAAUAAGAAGCGAACUACCUCGUCUUGAUUGUUCAAUACGGAAACAUGAAGAGCAUUUUGACUGUUGCUGUCAAGCAUAUCCCAACAAUCAAGGCGGUGAUUUAAUAGCUUAUAUAUCAUGUUUACGUCACCUUCACUGGCUGCAAUGUGAAUUGUUGUCGUCCAGUCAUUUUCACUGCCUGUCGGAAGGUACACUAAGGAUUUUUUCCACGCCAGCAUAUCAGAUACUAUGUCUUCCAAUCCUAAUUUAACAGCAUCGUGCAGUGAAUUCCAACCCCAUAAGUCAGGUUCCUCGCAUGAAGGCUUAUUCCAUCG
RNAcentral lists this long non-coding RNA (77770 nucleotides) under Capsicum annuum. Its description in RNAcentral is "long non-coding RNA (CANN_LNC009044)". The record is from RNAcentral. Lineage: Eukaryota; Viridiplantae; Streptophyta; Magnoliopsida; Solanales; Solanaceae.